This 71204-nucleotide long non-coding RNA is filed under the name Ananas comosus (pineapple). Its description in RNAcentral is "long non-coding RNA (ACOM_LNC018477)". The record is from RNAcentral. Lineage: Eukaryota; Viridiplantae; Streptophyta; Magnoliopsida; Poales; Bromeliaceae.
UUUUUUUUUUAAAAAAUAAGUACAUGCUUUUGUACUGCUGAUGCAUCAAGUGAUGAAGAGUGAAUUGAGAGGAGAAGUACGGCCAUGGUUUUUCCAAGUUGCAGCUAAAAUUUGGGCGUAAAGGGAAAGCGAUUUAUUGAAGGAAAUUUUGAAUUAUUGUUUGCGUAAAUUGCGCCGGAUCGAAGUCCUUGAACUUCUAGCCAAAUUUCGUUUUGGUCGUCUCAUUUAAGCUCAAUGUUCAAUAUCUCCAACUCCCGAAAGUGUUUCAAUUUGGUUCUUGUACUUGUUUAAUGUUAGAGAAUAGAAAAUAAUUAUCUACACUUGGUACAUCGAUCUCUACAUUAAUUCAUUUGCCAUACGCUAGGUAUCCUUGAUCUAGUUUGAUAUAUAUUCUAAUUUUAGCACCACUGAAUUGCAAUUUUUUUCUAUAUUUAAAAAUUAGACUGUUUACUGAAAGUAUGAGAUGGAUAAACGCUGAUGGAUUUGUGGUGCACGCACAAAUUUAAUUAGGAAUUAAUAUUGAUCCAGGUGUACUCAGUACUUUCCUAAAUUAAGAAGUAUAAGAAAAUAAUCUCUCUCUCUAUAUGCAGCAAGACCACAUGCUAGCUAUUAGGUUUGCACGGACAAAAUCCGUAUUCAUUUAUUUCAAAUAAAGUAGCUAUAUAUAUAUAUAUAUAUAUAUAUAUAUACACAGAGAGAGAGAGAGAGAGAGAGAGAGAGAUUAGGGUUACAAUCUUAUGAUAAUAGAGCCCUUCGUACUUACAAAUAAUUUUUGAUGAUGGAACUUCCGACUUGCCAAUUCAUACCAUUAAAUAUAAUGUAGAGUAUUUAAAAUUUCUAGAAAUCAAAUUUCAUUAUUUUUCAAUAUCAUUACCUUACGAUCAAAAGAUCACAAAAUUGAUAAUUUUUAACAGUUGGUAUGAAAGACUUGCUAGUUUAAUAGGGUAAAAAAAUCGGAAUAUGUUGAAUUUUUAAUAGAAAAUUUUAUUCACUAUACAGAAAAAGAUCAAUAACUUCGAUCUUAAAUUGAAGAGUCCGAUCAUCCAUCUCUAGGACGUCAUUCAAUUUUGACCGUGUAUUUUAUCGCUUGAUAGAUUUUACCAUGAUUUUGAAAAAUUGCAAAAUUUAUUUUUUAGAAGUUUCAAAUAGUCUAGAUCACUUUUAACUGAGUGAAUUGUCGAUUCGAAAACUCUAUCAUCGAAAAUAGCUUAUGAGUACGAAGAACUCUAUACUAAUAAGCAUAUAGUAGCCCUAGCUACUAUAUAUAUAUAUAGUGUACAUGCAAAUGCAAGUAACAAUUACUUAGUAUUUAUCUGAAAUAAACAUAAACUAAAUAUACAAAAAAAAAUAUAUUUAAUAAACUUAUGAAAUAUUGAUGAAUCUAUAAUUUAAGUAUAUGUUUAUAAACUGAAAAUAUUCAAGAUUUAUUCACAUUUAUUUUAAUUUUAAAAUUUAAUUUUGAUCACUAUAAUGAAAAUUGUUUAUUAUUAAUUUCAAUUUGAUAUCUUAAAUUAAAUCUCAUUUAUGAUUUAAACUCUAAUUUAUUUUAUAUAAAGUAGGCAUGGAUAGAAAUGCUUUCUUUAACAGAUUUGAUCAUAACCCGUUUAUUUUUUUACUUAAGAGAUAUUUUUUAUAACAUUGAUAUAGCACUCGUUCGUACGGAUUGGAUUUAUAUAUAGAUGACUAGAUGUUUUAAAUGCUCGUAUCAUCAUAUUUUUGUAAUUUUUUAUCUUCAGCCAGUUGACUUUUGAGCCACUUCGAUCAUGGCAAAUGAUAUCGAAAAGCAUCACAAAUUUUAUUUUCUAGGAUACUUCAACAUACUCUAGUCAGUCUGAGGAGCGAUCGUCGUUCGAAAGUCCGAACACGAAAACAAGUGGAAGCACGGUCGUGUCACUUUGUUUCUCGCAUAUGUUCGAAUUUCGAAAUCGACGUCGGCCCCUCUCAGAUUGAUCCUAGAGUUAUUUGACAGUAUUCUAGAAAAUAAAUUUUGUUGAUUUUCGCAAUAUUCAUUUGCCUGUGAUCGAGGGGCUCCAAAUCACAGUAACUCUUCUAAUGCGCCAAGGGGAGCAGUUGCAUGUUUUAACGGUUGUAGAAAUAUCCAUAAUCACAUAGAUUUGAUAGAAAUUCUUUUAUACCAUAUCACAAGAUCUAACUUUGAUCUAAAUUGAAUGUGUAUCAUAUUUAGUUUGCUAAGAUUUUUAUUUUUCAAGCCUGUUGAUUUGAGCACUUCAAUCACUAGGCAAAGGAUAUCGAAAAUCGCAAAAAUUAUUUUCUGAUACGUUCAAUUACUUCUAGAUCACGUUCUACCGAGCCGGAUCUGUGCAUUCAAAGUGCGAAUCGAACACAAAGUGGAAGCACGCGAGCGCUCCGUACUAUCCAUAACAUACAGACGCACUCUAUUAUAUAUAAUAUAUAUAUAAUAUAUAUAUAUAUAUUAUAUAUUAUUAUAUAUAUAUAUAAGCUGCUACCUAUUAAUAAUGCGUUCGGAUAAUGUGGCCCCUUAGAUUGAGUGGAUGGUUAGUGAUAGUAUAAUCGGAACGGAUAAACAUAAUAAAAAAGGUAAACAUCUAAUGCCGUAGCAAACUGAUAGCCACCAAAUACUUCGUACUCAUCGUAGUUACAGCCUCUCUCUUCUCUCUCUCUCUCUCUCUUCUUUCUCUCUCUCUACUAUAUAUAUUAUAUAUAUAUAUUAUAUAUGUAUAAGAGAUUUAGAUACUAGUAAUAAUAACUGGGCUUAAGCAUUUUGGGCCUUGUGAUAAUUUGUGUCGUAAAUUGAGCUAGAAUACUUUUAGAAGCACCAAUCCUUUGGUGCUUCUAAGUUUCUAACCCUUGGAUCUACUCCUUAAUUACUAAUAGCCCUUGGGUCAAACACUAUUCCACCUACCACCACCUACCACGAUCAUCCCAACCCCACGUCUCUCCAUCCAAUGAUUAAAAACUCGAAAGCACCACACACUUGGUGCUUUCGAGAGUAUUAUAGCUCAACUCAUAUAUAUAUAUACUAUACUAUAUAUGCUAUCAGAAGCAUAUAGGAUCUGGCGUUUUCGACUUUUGGACCCUUAAAUCAACCUCUUUUAUCAUUUUCAUCCAUUCGAUUAUACUAUUCAACUAACCACCCACUCAACCCUUGGGGGCCCACAUCAUCCUAACUGCACAUCUUUUAAUCCAACGGCAGAAAACUUUAGAGCAACAAGUCAUUGGUGCUAUUAAUAGUAUUCCAGCCUAAUAUAUGAGCUAGACUGGUAUACUAUCGGUAGCAUGGAGGUCUUCAUACUAUCAAGUUGUUUUCAAUGAUGCGGCUUCCAAAUCGACGAUCGGCCUCGUUAAACUUGAUCUACACUAUUAAAAAUAUUUGAAAACUAAAUUUCAUAAUUUUUCGACAUCAUUAAUUUAUCAAACGAAUAGUCUAAAAAUAAACGGCUGAAAAUAAAAAUCUCAUAAAAAAUGAUGAAAAAAUAUUUAAAUUUAAGAUUAGAGGUACUGAUCUUUCUUUAAAUAGUGAAAAUAAUUUUCUAUAAAAAUUUCAUCAGAUUUGGAUUAUUUUAUACUGUUGAAUUCACAAACGCAUUACAUCGACUAUUAAAAUUGUCAAUUUUGAGACCUUCGAUCACUAGCCAAAUGAUGUUGAAAAAUUAUGAAAUUUAGUUUUUAAAUACUUUUAAUCGUGUAGAUCAAAUCUAAAGGAGCGAUUGCCGAUUUGGAAGCCGCAUCAUUGAAAACAACUUGGUAGCACGGAGGUCUCCGUGCUACGGAUAGUAUACCAGCCUAGCGCUCUCUCUCUCUCUCUCUCUCUCUCUCUAUAUAUAUAUAUAUAUAUAUAUAUAUAUAUAUAUAUAUAUAUAGAUAGACUGGAAUACUAUCAAUAGUACCAUGCGAUUGAUGCUAUAAGUUUUUUAGCUUUUGGAUUGAGAAAUGUACGAUCAGGAUGAUAUGGGCCCCCCUAAAGUUGAUUGGGUGGUUGGUUAAAUAAUAUAAUCUAAUGGGUAAAAAUAAUCAAAUGGUUAAAUUUAACGGUGGAAACUCGAUAGCACCAGGGCUUGGUGCUAUCGAUAGAAUCUCUGCCAUACUCUCUCUCUCUCUCUCUCUCUAUAUAUAUAUAUAUAUAUAUAUGUAUGUAUGAAUCUAACUAAGUCUAAACAUAAAAUUUGCAAAAGAAAACUAAGUGUUGACACAAAUUAUAAGAUAAAAGUGAUGAUCCAGCUUGAGCAGCACCCGACGUUAGCAACUUGUUGGUCUAAACAACUAGUUAUCGACGCGCAAAUAUCAAAUACUAUUUAAACAAGUUCUUUUCACUAGUUAUAGUGCACAUGCGAGACAUGUCAUAGUUAAUUAAAUUAAAUUUAUAUUUAUAUUUAUAUUUUAAAUUUAAAUUAUUGUUGGUGGUAUAUGUCUAUUUAUUAUUUGAUUUUUUCUCUAACUUUAUUUUAUCUUCAAAUAAGUUUUAUAUAUUUUUCAAUUUAGUUUUACUGUAAAUGUUUUUUAUAUGUAUUUCAUAACAUACAAUAUUUUUUUUAAUUUGAAUCUGAUUUAAAAUUUGAAUUAAUUCAAAAUUUUAAUUUUAAUUUAAAUUUAUGAAUAAAGCUCAAAAUUUUAAAUUUAUUUUGAAUCUAUAAUUUGAAUAUUAGUAGUUAUUGGAGAUGUAGAUCUAUUUGUCAACCAAUCUAUCUUUUAAAUUUAAUUAUUUUUUGUUUGAGAUAAUUUAUUGAUAGUCACAAAACUUAAAAUUUAAAAUUAAUUUUAAAUUUAAAAUUAAAAUAUAGAUUCAUAGUAAAUAUAAUCCUAUUAGCAAAAAUUUGGAUAAGCGUAAAUUUUUUUUUUCUGUUUUAGAGAUAAAGAAGAAUUACACAAAUUUCGAAUUAAAUUAUAAAUUAUCCUCGUGAUAGCAAAAAUUUAGAUAAGCAUAUUUUUUUUUUCUAUUUUAGAGAUAAAUUUGAAUUAAAAUAUAUAUUUAUUGUAGACAUUUUCUGUUUUGUAAAUAUUUGUAUAAGCAUAAUUUUUUUUUUAUUUUAUUUUAAAGAGAUAAAGAGAAAUUAAAAGUUUGUUUUAUUAUAUUAUUUAUUGUGUAAGGAAAGAUUUUUUUUUUUUUCUGCCAAAGAAUAGAUCAGUCCAUUUACCAAUAUUUAAAAUACGUAUUUUUAUAUAAAGUAUAAUUUUUUACUUUUGGAAAUGUAUAUAUCUUACUAGAGUAGUAGAUUAGGUAUAUGCAUGACUUCAUGUCCUGGGAUGAGCAGUGAAUUAAGAAGGGCCCUGUACGAUAGUCUAAAUGGUUACCAAACUAGGGUCCCAAGUGUGCCUAACUCGUUACCUGUGAAAUGACAUUGUUAUGUACAUGCCUCUUUAUGAAUAUAAUAUAUAUAUUCCUUUUCAUAUAUUUUUUUUCCUUAGCAUUUAAUAGGGAAAUAUAUAUUUUUUGCCUUAGCAUUUGAUAGGGAAAUAUCUCACUCUCUUCUCCUAUUUUGAAACCAUUGCUUUGGCCAUUGAUCUCUGUGAUCCAAGAUAAAAGAUAUUGAAUGUAGCAAUGCUAAGAUUAAUAUAAUAUCAUACAUAUAUUGGAUAGAAAUUGGAAUUCUAACUUUUAUAUAAUAAUAUAAAAGUUUUGUUCGCUUAUGAACUCAGUCGCACUUGAGCUUUCUUUCUUUUUUGUUCAUUGUGGAACAGAUUUGAGUAGUUUAGUAUGACAUUAGAAUGUGAAAAAAAAAAAGAAGAAGAAAAUUCUACUUGUUAACAAAUUAUCAUAAUCUUUUGUUUAAGAACUAGAACUGGUACACUAUUAAAUUGUAUGAAACAACUGUUGUACUAUAAAAGUUUAAGUUAAUAGAUCCAAGACGUGUGUUUAACUAAAUGAUCAGAAGAAUUUAAAUAAUGCUAGGAGCCUAAUGAGACUCGAACGUAGAACUCGAAUUCAGAACCUCCUGCACUAAUACCAUGUUAAAUUGCAUGAAAUAACUAUUAUACUUUAAAAGCUUUAGCAAUUAAAGAAUGACGCUUACAUAUUUUCUGCUCAACACACUCCACAUUUUCAUUGUUGCUAUUUUGCAUUAUAAGGCCUUGUCUUCGAAUUUUACAUUUCGGUAACUUAAGUUUUUGAAUAUUAUCGAUUGUUUCAUAUUAUUUAACAUCAUUAUCUCCCAAUCUUCACCGAGAUAUUUUUCUUUUGGGCUGAGCUCAACAACAAUUUUAUAAUGAUAGCUUCUGAGUACAUGGGACCGUUUCAUUCGCGAUCCAUCAUACUCAGAUAGAUGCGAAUUUCAAAACCGCGAGAGUAACGAAUGAGAUGAUUGAUCUUACGUUGAGAACUGUUCCCACUAAGUUCUGAGUCCUUCAGUUCAAUUUGCACUAUGAGCCAAUCAAAGAGAUUGCUAGUGCAACUCCUCGUGCUCGAUCAACAUUGGAGCUAGUAUAAUUAGCCGACCCUCGUGGUAGUGGUUCCAUCGAAAAAGGGAGAUUCAUUGAACCUAAAUAUGUGGCUUUUUUUUAUUUCUUUUUCUUUUUCUUUUUCCUUUUUCUUUUUUCUUUUUUCUUUUUUUUUUUUUUGGCUUGUUUUACGUACGCGUGCAAUUGUGGAUUCCCAUGCGAAAAGACACUUGAUCAUGGAAUGAGGAAAGAGAGGCAUGCAUGCAUAUAAUUGAGGCAAAGUGUGGGGUUUUUAGACGUAAUAUCCAAGCACAUGACAUGCUUGGUUGAAGAGAUAUUAAAAAGGGAGAGGAGAGGAUAAUAUGUGGACCCAUAUUUAAUCUUAUCCUCAGAGAAAAAGAAAAAAAAAAUGUAGGCCCAAAUGCGAGAUCAUAAAAUAAACCAUACGAGUUUAACUAAUUAGUACGACUUUGAUAGAAAAUAAAAAAUAUUUGACUAUAAAUAUGUGGGUUGAGUUAGUGUUGAAUUGUUGUUUUAAGAAAUUGUCGUAGGUCUAAAAAGUGGGGCUUAAGUUUGGCCAAAAUAUCGAUUUAGCGGGAAACGGACUUAAAACUAUAUAUGUAUUAACAUAUUUUAACUAAAUUAAUAAUUAUCUCUGUUUUCUUAUAUUUUGAUCCUUUCUCGGAAGUUGAAAUUUAGCCGAAAAAUAACUUUCAGUUGAACAAAGAUUUAUAUGAAAAUUAUUUUUCGAGCUAUUUAUUUGAUGGAAAGUCAAUGGCUUCGAAAUUUAUGUUCUUCCACUUUAUAUAUUUGUUUUACGGAAAUUUUGUAAAGUACUAAUAAAAGAGAAAAAAAAUUACAAAGUUAAUUUUUUUAUUAUAUAUUCUUUGAUUUUCUUCUGUAAAUAAUUUUCCCACAGUUAAAAAAAAAAAGCCAAUUACGGUAUUUUGAAAAAAGUUAAAAGUUAUGGCUAGUAAAGUAAUGAAAGUAGAAAUUUAUAGUUAAAAAUUACUUCGCCCAUCUCUAAUUUCAGUAAAACAAACAGCUUCUUGUUAUCAUCAGAAUUAAGUAAAUCUUUUCGCAAACAAACAAAAUUGAAAGCUUUGGCUAAAAUAAAAUUAAAAAAUAAUAAUUUGGCUCCUAAAAGCAAAAGUUUUAGGUCUCAUUUGGUAUUGUUGUCAUAUUUUUAUUUUUUUUGAAACAGUAAUUCUAAAAAAUUUGAUGUGAUGAUUUUUUUUUUUUUUAUUAUAAUUAGUUAGCUUACAACGCAUCCAAAUAAGUGGCAGAUAACAACCCGUUUAAAACAAUUUUGCAAGCAAAAUAAAUUUUUACAAAAUUUUUAUUAUUUGUUGUCAAAUAAACACUUCGGGUGAAAGGAAUUAUUAGUAAUCUACUGUCAACUGCGACACUUUUUAAUAUACAAAAUUUUAUUUAGAAAAAAAAAAAAAAAACAAACAUAAUGCCAAAUGAAACUUUAAUUUACCGUUUCUAAUAUUGUUACAAAAAAAAAAAAAAAAAAGCCAUUAGAGAUAUACCAAUAUAAUAUUUCUUAUUAUUGCACUAUUUUGACAACACUUCAUCAGCCAAUUAGAGAUGGAGCCAUUACAAAAUAAUUUACAUAAAUUAAUUAAAAGAUAGAAUAAUAUUUUCGUUUAUUUUUUGGGCUACAUAGUUAAUUUGAGCCCACUAACUGGGCCAACCCAACCCACUCUACAAUGGAACAAUCCAAAAGUUGGCCCAAUUUUGUGAACCCACUACAUGACUUGGGCCUACCGCUCCCUAUUUUCGCGUCAUUAUUGUUGAUACAGCAUCAAAAUUGAUAAUCGAUACUGUUAAACAUGCUCUACAGCUCGUAAGUUUUCGAGGAUUUAUAUAUCUAAGUUUCUUGGUUUUUCGACAUUACUUAGGACUCAAGUAGUCUCAAAUCACCAAUUUUUUAUGACAAUUACUUUUAAUGUAUUUAACACCACUUAAUCCAUAGAUAAGUAAUGUUAUAAAAUCACUAAAUUCAUUUCCUAUAAAGCUCAAUUACCGUAAAUUAUUUUUAACAUAUUGAUUAUCAAUUCGAAUGCCCCAGUACCGAUAUUCUAGCUUUAUGUGUAAAAUAUUUUAGGGCCUGUUUGGAUGUUCAGACUAAUUAUUCAUCGAGGACAUCUUUUACAACAAAAAAAUAUUGAAAUCGCAAUACAUUAAAUAGAGAGUACAUGUAACGAACUUACGUUAGCAUGCAUAAUGGACUUGAACCUAACAUUACAUGGUCAAACCAGGUAGUUUUACUCGACACGGCAACGAUUCAAAUAUUUAGUCAGUCGAUUGAUAUUCUCUAAAAACUUAUGCUGUGGGAGAAAAACUACUAAAAGAGAGAGUGCGUGCGGGGGCCGGAAAAGGAGAAACGCAGAUGUUUUUAAAAACAUUUCUAUAUAUAUAUCCAAACUUUUGACCAUAUAUAUAAUUUUACCAUUUUUUUUUGAAAAUAUAUAAACCAAUAAUUUCAUAACAAAUUUAUGCAAAAUGCAAAUUAUUACCCCAUCCAUUAUAUUGUUCGUGCUUUGCUUUCCAGCAUAUACAAUAUUUCUCUUCUUUUUUUUGAGAGAGAGAUAGGUAACACGCUAGCUGCUUUGUUUAUUUCAUAAACUUAGUUAGAAAUAUAAAUUAAUUAGGAUUCGAAUUUGGAUCUCGUAUACCAACCACCAAAUCCUUUGCUACUUGCUCUAGGAACGGCCGGUGUAUACAAUAUUUCUCAAAUGCUAUAAAUGGAUGAGCCGACGAACGAUUAGUGUACGCAUCGAAGUAUAUUAUAUUCCUAGCUCCAUGGCUAUACCUAUUGCAUGGGUUAGGUAAAGCCAAACUCAACCCACUCAAAAUCAUUACGUUUGGCUUAAAUUAUAUUCUAACUAAUCCAGGUUAAUUACGCCGCUGCGAUUUGGAGAUAUGUGAGAUACUGUUGAUAUAUAGCACCAAGCGUUUUGUGCUAUUAAAUUUUUCGCCGUUAGAUUUAACCCUUUUAUUAUUUUCAUCCGUUAGAUUAUAUCAUUAAACCAAUAACUUACUCAACUCUACGGAGCACACAUCAUCCUAACUGUACAUUUUUUCAUCCAAGGACCGAAACCUAAUAGCACCAAUAGUUUGGUGCUAUCGAUAGUACCCCAGUCAAAAGCACCAAGCGGGUGCGACCAAGUUUUCCGCCGUUAGAUUUAACCUUUUAACUAUUUUUAUCCGUUAGAUUAUACUAUUAAACUAAUAACUCACUCAACCCUGGGGGACCGACAUCGUCCUAACCGUACAAUUUUUUCAUCCAAGGGCCGAAAACCUAAUAGCACCAAUAGUUUGGUGCUAUUGAUAGUAUUCCAGCCUAUUUCUCUCUCUCUCUAUAUAUAUAUAACCCAUAUAUACUUUAUUAUAACAAGGAAAAACUUUAAAUAUCACUUCUAUGGUUUCGAACAUUCUCACUUUAGUAUUAUGUGAUUUAAAGUGUAUCAAUUUAGUAUCCUGUCAUUUCAUUUUUUUUCUUUUUAUUAUUUAUUCCACUAUUUUUUUUUCGUUAAAUCAGUGACAAAGUUAAAAUUAAAGAGUAUUAAAAUGAAUAUUCGAUAAAUCUAGAUGGGGUAUCUAAAAUUCUUUGUAUAUAAUUUAACGAAAUACUAACAAAAGAGCUGACGAAAAGAAAAAAUGAAACCCCAGAGUACUAACUUGAUACAUUUUAAAUUACAAGAUACUAAAGUGAGAAAGUACGAAACUAUAGGAUUGGUAUUUAAAGUUUACCCUUAUAAUAAUACAUUAGUCUCUAAGAAGCGGUAACUAACUAUCUCUAAUAAAGUUUCUCAAAGAGAGAAGUUUCCCAAAGAGAGUGAGUGCCACGCAAUGAACCAUUAUUAAUUAAUCCUAUUUUGUCUUUUUCUCUUUUUCUCGUUAAUUUCUGAGUAGCUUCGCAUGUUACGGCUAUAAAUUUUUGUUCUUUAAAAUACACAGGUAAGUCAAAUUAGUGGGUAUAUUAAUUAAUAGAUGCAUGCAAAUCGCGUGACGAGUUGAAAUAAUUGGUGAUGACAUAAGUGAAAUGAUUAUUAAUCGAAACUAAUGCGGUUUGAAAAUUUAGACACCACCUGUAUUGUGGUCAUGCAUGCGUCUAAAGCGAAUGUAUGCUGCUUUGGUGAAGGAUUUUUAAUUUCUAAAGCUUUAAUAAAAAUAUUGUUCGCGGAAAAUUGACCAAAAUAUUGCACUUGAUGAUCUUUUAUUGAAAGAGUAAAGCCAGAAUACUAGUAAAAAUAAAUAAAAUUGCUUGCUUCUGCGUAGUUUCUACAGAUACAUAUUUCUUAAUCUGAUGAGUAGUAUACGAGUACCGAAAUAUUUUGUCUGCAUCUCUCUUAUCUUAUCCUAUCCAAGGCAAUCAUGAACAAAAACCAAACCCAGCUUUCAAGUUAGACGACAAUCCCGAAGAAAAUAGAAUAAUCCACGCCUUCCGAAUCUAAAGCGAGCAGAAAGCAAAAGCGAAAACAAAACCAGAGUGCAACAGGAAGGUAUCAAUGGCUUUUGCUAGCAAUGCAUGAUGUUGCAAACACUGGUUUCACUUUUCAUCUUGAAAUCAUAAAGAAUGAAGCGAAGGGUGCAGAGAAUCAUCAUGGAAACUUUUUCUUAGUGCCACAACUCACAAAAACAAAAGCAACACCAAUCACUUUCAAACUAUUAAACAGCAUUUUCUUCUUCUUACACACAAUGCUCCAACAUAUGGAUAUCAUUUAUAGAGGACACCCCACAGUUUAUGAGAUUCCGAAAGGCGCGACAACGGUGGCCUUUUACAGGAGUUUAAUAUUGGGGUGCCCACUAAAAGAGAGGUGAAAUUAAAGGGAGGGGAGAGGUAGUGCUGUGACCAGACACAAAAGGGGAUUUUCGACGACCUAAUACAUCGAGCAUCACCAUAUGUCCUCUCCCUCCACUAUCUACAAAAAAAAAAAAAGAAGAGAAGAUAAAAGCACACUUACACCGUAACCACACACUUUAGGGCUUCAGAAUCCCACGAGCAACACUACUAAUGGUUCUCCUCGAAAGCAAAAGCUCGACCUUCCGUUCUUUCGUUGCCAAUACUUUAGUAGCAAGUUCAAGCUUUCAUAUCGGAAAUGCACCGACAAGCUCCAAUCGAGUAAUCGAGGACGCACACUAGUAUGUCGGAUCGUAAUGUACAGACACCGCAUAGAAAUGAAAUAGCAACAAAACCAAUAAUUUUACCUUAUUAAGAGUCUACUAUAGUACCUCCACUUUUUCAAUCGCAGCUUUGGUCAUCAAAGUUUUGUAACCCGAGCUUCUUUACUUCCACCUUGAGAUACUUCAGAUAUCUAACAGCUUCGUCGAGAACAGCGGGAGCGUCCAACCGGUCGCCGCCAGGGAUUAUUUCCCUAAGAACUCUGACCAUCUUUCUCAUUUUUUCUCUCUUUUUCUCCUUACUAAUUGAUCCAUCAAACGUGAAAUCUUGAGAAAAGCUCGGUUCAUGUUUUCCUGAGCAAGAAAAAUCAGGAGUUCGCCCCGUACUGACCACAUCAUCAUCAUCAUCAUCAUCAUCAUCAUCUUUUUUUCCAUCAUUGCCCUCCUCGUCCGAGCAAAGCAAUGCGUCAAUAUCUUUCGAGUCCUCCUCGAAAGAGGAAGAGAACUUGUCCUGACAAAUAUCAUUCUUUCUGCUUGAAAUUUUUCCCUUUUUCUCCGCGUGAUGCGAUGGAUAAAGGUCCAAAUUGGGCGAACCGAGCUUACGGACCAAGGCAGGAUGGAACAUGACAGAACCUUUGUCAUAAGUGUGGUCAAAGAUGAUGAAGUUUUUGGGGCAGUUUUCCAAAGGCUGGAACUCUAAUCCACUGAGUGGAGAUAGAAACUGCGGCGGAAAAGGGACGCUAUAUGGAUAGUGAUCGUUCAAUGCUGAGUUUUGGGUACAACCCAGUUCAUAUUCGUGAGAGAGGAAGCCCUUCCCGUUUAAAAUUCUCGCGUCCCCCUGCAUGGGUCUAUAGUACUGAAACAGGGAAUAUGCCUUUUCACAGAAACUGUGUUAUUUUCCGUACAGCGACAAAGGUGGAGACAAAUACCUUCUACCCCAAGUUAGCCAUCCUAUUAUUUCAAUUGCCUUAUGUAGUUUAGGACAGAUCGAAGCUAAAAUCGCGUCGUGCCGAGAACUUGGAACUACGUGACAGGCUUAAGCAACUGGCGGAAGUACUCAGGCUGCCAUUUUGGGAAUAAUUAAUCAGAAAUUCACAAAUAACAAGCCAAAGAAAACAUGUAAAUCAAAUAAUAAGGCAAAGAAAGCACGAAGUUUAAUCGAAGAUACAAUGCUAAAUCCUGAGGUAACUAUGAAAAAGCUAGCCCUACUAGGGCUCACGAAUAUGUACAUAUAAACGAUCAACGUUUUUUCUUUUUUUCUUUUUUUUCCCAAGUGAUGCUUCUGUACACGAAAGCAUGCAGGCCAUCCAUUUCCAUCAUCCAACCGCCACGAAACACGCCGCAAUAAAGGGGGUAACAAUAUCACAAUCGCAGUAAGCCGUAACCAGGGCACAUCAUAAGAAUUUGCGGAUUGUGAUCGUACAGCGGUGAGCAGAGUUGUACAGAAGCAUACCACAGUUCUAUAUUGCUCAAUAUUUUGCUUCCCCAAGUUAGCUUUGCAAACUCAUAUCUUAAUUAACUUGAUGAUUCAGAAACUACGAGUAAAAUUACUAUUUUUACGAACUAAAAGAAUCAGCUCAGAUUGAAACUACUUAAUCAACGCUCCGUGAUUAAUAAGGUGCGUCAAAUAAAAAUUGAUCUAAUGAAGAAACAUUUAGAGAAAGCGAGAUAAAAUCGGAGAAAAAAACACAUAGAAGAAUAUGAUUCACCUGACAAACUUGCAUCAAUUGGCAGUAAGCAAUGAUUCUAACAUUCAUUAUUAUUUCGCCGACCUCCUCCACCGUUCGAUACCUCUUUAGAUCGAUCUCAAUGUGCAUCCUCACAAAUCCAAUACCGAUAUGAAGAACAAAAAAAUUUGAAAAGAAAACACCUAAAUUUGUAGCAACCUCACCUGCACCAAAAACCCACCAAAAACAUUAAUUUGCAACCAAAAAGAAAAAGUUUUAUCUGAUGAAUUCGAAAGCGCACGGAGAUCAUACACAAUCACCCGGAAAAAUACGACAAAGCAAACGGAUUUCUUGCUCGUGUAGUAAUUCGAAUACAAUGGUGCCCACGGCAUGUUCUUCUUCUUUUGAUCCGGAAUCUAUCAAUCAAUAGAUAAAAUUUAUCAAAUUAAACGCUAUUAAUAACGAUUUGAAUCGAUCAACCAACAAGAAUUUAACCAAAAGAGAAGCUCUAAUUGAAUCCAAAAAACAAAAGCCUUCCAUAAUUCAAUAGAAAAAACCAACAGAAAAUUACCGAAAAUUAGAGGAGAUCGAGGAAUCCGAGAUUAGGGUUUCUACGGGGACGAAUCGAAUUGGACGAGGACGAGAUCAAAAUCGGAACUUGGAGCGGAUUUACGGGAGACUUCGAAGAGGGGCUCUUCGAUCGAGAGGAUUGGGGGAAAAAGGGAGCGCUUUUGUGUAGAGUCGUAGAUGAAACACGGGGCGAUAUAUAGAGUGUCGUCGCCUUUUAAGCUAACCCUAGGGUUUGGAAUUUUUUUUAUUUUGUUUUUUUUUUUUUAAUUCCACUUAAUUAAGGAUUUUAGGUGAGUUUGUUUAUUGGAAAUUAUUAAUUAUUAUUAAUUAUUAAUUAUUAACAAGGGUUAGAAAGAAAAAGGGUGCGUUUGGAUUUGGAUGGGGUGAAGCUUCGCGUGUGUCACGUGCGACUACAGUGUGUGUCCCCCCAUGCAUGGGAUAGGAGUAGCAUUUCGCACGUGUGGCAAGGUAUAGAAACACAUGGUGAGUGCAAUAAUUAUGUAUAAUGUAAUGCAAAUAAAUAUUAUAUUAUUAUGGAAUAUAACACAGCAUAUUAUUUAUUUUAUUUUUAAAAAAUAAUUUAAAAAUUAUAUUAUCCGUCUACUAAAUAUAUUAUAAAUGAAGCCUUAAUAAAAUCUUUUUUUUAGUAUCUUCAAUAAGUGAUGUAUGAAAAUAGACAUUCGUUUGAGGAGAAAAUUAUCCUCCCCAUAUGGAUGAGAUUGAGAUAACGUUUGGGAUAAAACUUAAGUAGAGAACUCGCGAACAAGACUUUGUUAAUUAAGUAUCUUUCAAUUUGUUACCAUAUGUGUAAAUAACAUGUUUCUUAAAGAAAUAACUAAUGUUAUUAGUUAAAAAAAAAAAAAUUCAACCCACUCUAUUAAUUUUGUAUCCAAUACUAAAAGGUAUUCUCCUACAAUAUUGCUUAUAACAUGGUAAUAUCAUUCUUAUACUCUAAACAUUAAUUACUAAAUCCCAAACACUAUUUUUAAAUCUUAAGCAUCAUCACCGUCAUUAUAUUUCAAACCCUAAACUCUAAUCUUUCUGCAUGCACGUGCAUACCGACACAUCAAUAACGUAUUGAGAUACUCUAAGGCGAGAAACCUAAAGCAUUUCACCUUGUAAAAAUUAUUGAAUUUUAGUAAUCUUUUUCGACUGGUUUUCUUUACGCUUCGUAUGUAUAAGAUGUAUUCUUGUGCAUGCGACGGUAUGUUGACAUAAUAUGAACUUCUAAUAUAAUUCGGAACGUGACAUUCAAAAACCCUAAUGCGAUUAGUCGGAGAUUCCAGAUCACUGGUUUAACCGCUCUAUUUUAGACUUUUUCUAUCAGAAGAGACUAGUGUGAAAUAUUUGAUUAUUCGAUGGUGAUUUGCGCAGUAGGAGUAUGAUUAUUACAGAGCAAUAAUUGAGAGAACCUUUUUAUGCGGUUUCUGGGAGGCAACAUCUCAUUGCGAGAGUGACACGUUACCUAAUUUCUGCGAUCCAAUGUUGACUCCUGAGACCUCAUCCCAUGUUGCUAUGUGUCCUUUUAUUUUAUUUUUUUAACUUAGGCAUUUUGGAGAUGUAUGUGUAUGUAAGUAGAAUCAACAAAGUCAUGCCCAAUCCUAGCUCCCCAUCCAUGUCGCAAAGAACAAGGACAAGAGACCACGUAACAAUUUGUGGGUUUUGUUUGGUUUUCCUUGGUCUCAAUGGGGAGGGACAAAAAAAAAAAGUAUAAUGUUGGGGUUUUGAUUGUUUGUACAAUGACCAAUUGAAGUUUUCAAGGUAAAUGUUAUAUUUAUCGUAAAGAUCGAUUCAGUCGAAAACGGUUCGAUAUUAAUCUUUUUAUACUGAAGAGGUAACAAAAAAGAGAUGUAUCGUGAAUUCGAUACGGCCUUUGUUUUCCAAACAAAAGAUCAAAAGAAUAAGGAUGAAAUGUAUAAAACCUUUCUAUAAAUACUUAUUUUUCUUUUUUCUUUCUCCACCUUCAAAAAUUUACAUUUUAGUCAUUCAAAAUUUCAAUUUGAUACAAUUAACACUCUCAGUAAGAGUUUAGUCCUUAUUCCAUCAAUUUGUUAUAAUUUAUACUAAAAAUAUGCUUAAAGAUGACAGAUAUAUAUUAAAAAAAUUCGUUAUAAACCAAGAAAGAGUAUUUUUAUCAUUUUGUUUUCUUCAUUAAUUAACGUCGUAACCUCAUAAAAGCAUUUUUACAUUAUUUUUAAUGAGGCAAAAUAUAGAUUUUGAAAAGUCAAGAUGGAAAAGUGAAAAAUGAAUAUUUUUAGAAAAAAUUUCGACGAUUUAGUCAAAGGCUAAACUAUCAAAGAAAAGUUUAGAAAUAUAUGACUAGAUACCAUUCUAUCCCAAUGUUGCCACUUGGUCAAUAACACUACUUUACUAAAAAAUUUUGAAUAUUAAAGAGUUUAACUUUAAUACCAGUAAGCAAAUAGUUACUCUAAAAACCUAAGUUCAUAAAUAAUGAUAUUUUAAUAUUGGAUUAAUUUCAUGCAGGUCCCUACAAAUAUAGUAAAUUACAAAUAUAUCCCUACAAAGUUCAACUUUUAUAUAUAAUUUCUACAAAAAUCCUAAUGUUUUCAAUUAUGUCCCUCUGGUUUAUUUUAUAAGUGAAAUAAUUUUUUCGCCAUCACAAAUAUAUUCCUCCAAAAAUUUUAAUUAUUAAUUAAAGAGGAAUAAAAAAAUUAAUUCAUCAUAUUAACUAACUAGGGUUAAUGUGGAGCUUAGGGCCUCAGCCCUUUGAAAAGGUUGGGCCGACCCAUCGAAAUGAAUCGAAAUAUUAAAACUUUGCUUUACGACAAAACACAUUACAUUACGUGAUCGUAAUUAUUUCAUUACUUUUGUAAAAUAAAAUCUUCUACAGUAAAGCUGCACACGUCCAAUCCUUUUUUUUCAAAAUUAAAUUUUGCUGAAAAAUAUCGAAAGAACACAAGUAUUAAUGUCCCCAAAAAAAUAAACAAUCAUACAAUCACAAUAUGCUACACAAAUAUUAACAUUUGCAACCACAUAGAAUAAACAACACAUGCAUGCUAUAUAAGCAUAAAACAUAUAUAUAUAUAUAUAUAUAUAUAUAUAUAUAUAUGUAGUACAAGAACAUAAAAAAAAUUACUUUUUUUUUUUUUCAUAUGUGUUGUAGUGUAUCCCACAAAAAGAAGUAUUAUUACACAGGAAUGAAUCUUUUUUAUAUAAAUAUACAAACAAAAAAAAAAAGAAAAAAAAAGACGGCCCCAGUGCAGCAGGCCGGCCCAGCCCGUGUCACUGUAGGGCAGACUGCCGGCACUCCCGUAGCAGGCCUGGCCGGGCUUGCCCCACCCGCUGCGGGGCCGGACAAGGCGAAAAUAAAAAUUAAAAAAAGUACAACAUAUGUAAUCUUUUUUUAAUGCACGAAAUAGAGAAAAAAAAAAAAAAAAACAACUAAUGUUAAAAAUAAAACGCAUAUCUCGCCAUCUCCCACGUGUUGCGAAUUCUCUUCUAUAUUCACACUCCAAAAAUAUCGAAAAUGUAGAUUUCCAACGUAGAUAGAAAUUUCAUAAAAAAAGAAGAGGUUAUCUGAUGCGUUGAGAGUACACUUUUAUAUCCACACUUCAAAACUCCGACUCUAAAAUUUUAGGAACAUAGGUGAAAAUCUCAGAGAGAAAGAAGAGAGAAAAGAAAGAAGGAAUCUACAUACUCGUGGAUUCUUAUGGAUACAAAAUUUGAAAGAAAGAGAUCGUAUUUAUAAAUUAUUAGUUUGAGUUAUAUAAUAUUAUUGAGUAUUUCGAUAUAUUUAGAUAUCGUGGAUUUCUAAAUGAGAUUACUAUUAAUGUUGUAUUAGCAUGUUUGAUUUAAUACAGUAAUUUAAUGCUGAAUUGCAGCGUUUAUAUCAUUACUAUGUUUGAUUCAAUCUAUAAAAUUCAAUAAUCUUGACAAUAAAGUAUAGACUAUUUCAAAAUUGCCUUUAAUCAUAUUUAGCAAAUUUUUUUAUUAUUUACAAAUAAUAAUUUUUUAUUAAAUUUUAUUUUAAAUAAUUUAAAAUUUUUAAAGUUUUGAAUUUGAACAAAAAUAUAAAAUUUAUAUUUUAAUUUAAAAUAUAAAUAUGAAAUUUAUAAAUUUAAAAUCUAAAAUUUAAAUUUAAGUUUAAAAUUUAAAAUCUAAAAUUUAAAUUUAAAAUUUAGAUUUUAAAAUACAAAUUUGAAUUUUAAAUUUUAAUAUUUAAAAUUUAAAAAUUAAAUUUAGAUUUUAAAAUACAAAUUUGAAUUUUAAAUUUUAAUAUUUAAAAUUCAAAAUUUUAGAUUUAAAAUUUAAAACUUUAAAUCUAAAAUUUUAAUUUUUAAUUUUUAAAAUUUAAAUUUUCAAAUUUAAAAUUCAAAUUUGUAUUUUAAAUUCUAACAUUUAAAUUUAAAAUUUAGAAUUUAAAAUUGAAAUUUGCAUUUUAAAUUUUAAAUUUUAAAUUUUAAAUUUUAGAUUUUAGAUUUUAAAAUUUUAAAUUUUAAAAUUUAAAAUACAAAUUUCAAUUUUAAAUUUUAAAUUUUAGCUUUUAAAAAUUAAAAAUUCAAAUUCAAAUUUUAAAAUUUAAAAGUUGGCAAUUCAAAAUUUUAAAUUGAAAUUUUUAAAAUGACAUAUUGAAAGAAUUUCGGGAGUUGGAAGGGUAAACUUAUAAUUUUAUAUAAUAUGCAAAAUUAGCCACCUUCCAUAAUCCAAGAUAUAUACUCAUCCUUGGUAGUAUUUUCGGUGUAAUCUUAAACCUUUUAUAAUGCUGCAAUAUCAAACAGAUUACAUACCAGAUGAACUAAAUGCAGUAAUCCCAACAAGAUUUUCUGUAAUUCUGUCAGAAUAAUCCGAACCAAAUGCAUCCUUAAUAUAUUCUGAGUCUUACAUAAAGAUUAGGAUUAGAGUAUCUAUUAAAGUAUAAUAAAUAUUAAUGAGGAGAUAUGUUUCUUAACUAAUAAGAAAUAUAUAGUCCAUCUUUAUCUUAAGUUAUUAGGAUAAAUCUUGAUCCAUAUCUUAUAUGGAUUGGAUUGAAUUUGAACAGACUAAUGAGGGCAUAGUAUAUAGCAACAUGUUUGUUGUUCUAAAGCUUUAAGAACUUUUGCUUCUACCACAAAUAUUUGAUAAUUAAUAUUGUAAAAUAAAAUAUAAUAUAAAAUAUACUUAAAUAAUUUAUUGUAUAAUAUAAAUUUAUUUUUGAUACAUAUUUCAGAACGUGUAACGAGUGCAUCCAAAAAAAUUUUAUAAGGCAUUUGGUAAGCUCCUAUUGGCUCAUGAAUUAAUUGGCAUGCAAUGAUGCAUUCGAAAAAUUUGUAAGGCAUUUGGUAAUAUUCUAUUGGCUUAUGGAUUAAACGGUGACGUGGUUUGAUGAGGAGCCAUUUCAAUGGUAGACGCAAGUCCAAUUUAUAUAUUGUAUAGAAGGCAUUUGGCAAGCUCCUAUUGGCCCGUGGAUUAAUUAGCGUGCAAUGGGUGCAUCCAAACAUUUUGUAAGACAUUUGGCAAUCUCCUAUUGGCUCAUGGAUUAAAUUGGGACAAGGCUUCAUGAGGAGUCAUUUCAAUAAUAAUGUGACGCAAGUGCAAAUAUAUAUUGUAUAAAUUUUUGAUACAUAUUUCAGAACGUGCAACGGGUGCAUCCAAAAAUUUCAUAAGUCAACCGACCGUCCUUAAAGCAAGUGGUAAAGAGUUUGAUAGUUGGUACCCGAGACCCAAGUUCGAAUCCUAGUUGAUUCAUAUUUCCAGCUAAAUUUAUUUUUAAAUAAAAUAAACGAAGCGGGUAGUAUACUAUCUAUCUCUCAAAAAAAAAAAAAAAAAAUUCAUAAGUCAUUUGGUAAGCUCUUAUGGGCUCAUGGAUUAAUUAACGUGCGAUGAGUGCAUUCAAACAUUUUGUAAGGUAUUUAGCAAUAUCCUAUUGACUCAUGGAAUAAAUUGGGACGUGGCUUCAUGAGUCAUUUCAAUAAUGUGACUCAAGUGUCAAUUCAUUUAUUGUAUAGAUUUUGUUUACAUAUUUCAUAACGUGCAACGAAUGUAUCCAAAAAAUUUAUAAGUUAUUUGGCAAGCUCCUAUUGGUUCAUGAAUUAAUUGGCGUGCAAUGGGUGUAUCUGAAAAUUUUUUAAGUCAUUUGGCAAUCUCUUGGCUCAUGGAUUAAAUAGGGACGCGAUUUCAUGAAGAGCCAAAUUCAAUGAUGUGACCAAAGUGCCAAUUUAUAUAUUGUAUAGAUUUCAGAAUCAUGCAACGGGUGUAUAUAAAAUUUUUAUAAGGUUUUGACAAGCUUCUAUUGGCGCAUAAAUUAAUUAGCGUAUAAUAGGUGUAUUCAAAAUUUUUGUAAGGCAUUUGACAAGACUUAAGGAUUAAAUGGGGACGUGACUUUACGGAGAGCCAUGUCAAUGAUGUGACCUAAGUGUCAAUUUAUAUAUUGUAUAGAUAUUCCACUUCAUUGUUACCUAUAAAAAGGGCCCAAUUAUAACUAAGUUGUCACGUAUCAUACAUAACAUAUCAUUUGCAUAGAGUGUUGAUUAAAAGGAAGCAAUCAUAUAACCAUGUUUUGGAGUGUGGAUCUGUUAGGGUCUGCAGUGGCUGCAGGUUUUGUGGUGGUGUUCCUGAGAUUGUUGAAUUGGGCGUGGCUGCGGCCGCGGCGGCUCGAUCGCGCCUUACGGGCUCAGGGCCUCCGGGGCACGACGUACCGGUUUGUCUAUGGCGACGCCGCCCGCAUGGAGCAGCUCCGCAAAGAGCGCGAGGCGAAGCCCCUCCCGGAUCUAACCCACGAUAUAAUCCCGCGCAUCGCGCCGCUGUUUCAAGAAGCCAUGAGGGAACAUGGUACAUUAUUUUCCUUCCGUUAUAUAUAGUUAUAACUGCAUGAUAAUUAUAACUAAAUACAAAUUCAAAUCUAAUGAUUGACUUAAUACAUUUGAGUUCAACUGCAGCAGUAGUUGAAAUUAUAUCCAAAUUGAAUGCAGUUUCAGUCUCAAGCAAUUGGAGAGAAUAACUUUAUGAAUACAAAAAUUCUUAUUUUUGGAGAGAAUAACUUUAUGAAUACAAAAAUUCUUAUUUUUUCUAUAUAAGGCGUAAUAUGAUCAUCCUAUAUAUAAACUAAUAAAAUCAUAUAAAUAUACUUCAAUCUCAACCACAUAAAUUAAGCUACACAAAUUAUUUAUAAUUAAAGCAUUUUCUACUAUAUUCAACUAAACAAAAUAUAGGCAAUUAUAAUUGCUGCAUUAAUUGUCAAUUGUAUUUACAAUUACAUCCAGCCAAACAAUCUCUUAGAGUGAAUAAUUUCACUAAUAAUCGAUUUUUUUAAUGUUUUUAAAUAAGGUAAAAUAUCAUUCAUUUGGCUUGGACCCCACCCAGCUGUGACCAUAAUGGACCCAGGUUUGGUCAAGGAGGUUUUAUCAACCAAGUUUGGAGACUUCCAGAAACUCAAACCUGACUCACUAUCAAGGGCUGUGGUCACAGGGCUUUUACUUCAUGAAGGUGAGAAAUGGGCCAACCACAGGAGAAUCAUCAAACCUGCUUUCCACUUGGACAAACUAAAGGUAAAUAUGAUCACUUCCUUCAAAAUCCCAACCCUAAUUUAUUAUUAUUAUUUUUUUUAAGUUUAAGGUGAAAAUAAUUUGUCCGAACGUACUCACUUUGAUGCUUUAGAUUUUAGAACGUUGGAAAAGUUUGAAACUACGUACACUUUGGACGGGGGAUUUGGACCAGUUGGUAAAGAUACCUGAAAUUUUGUUAGAACCCAAAUUCGAGCACAACAAAUUUAUUCGAUACUAAACAGAAUUCGACAGAUUUAGACUUGAGUAUGAAUUUUGUUUGUAUCCUAACCCGAAUAAAUUUUAUAGUAUAUAAUUUAUAUAUGCUAGUGUUGUUAUAUUUGAAUUUGUGUUUUGAAAAUAUAGAAUUUUAUAUAUAAUAUGUUUUGAAAUAUAGUAAAGAAAAAUGAUUAUUUCUGAUUCUGAUUCGGGUUUUCAGGAUCGGAUUCGGAUUUCCAGGUUUUGGUCGCAUUCAGUUUUAGGCAUGAAUUUUUAAAAUUUGUCGAAUUCGGAUUCGGAUACGGAUUCGAAUUUUAGAUUUGAUUGUCGGAUUUUGGAUUCUAAUUUUUAAAAAUUCGCUAUGAAUCUAACGUAUUGACAUCCCUACGUUGGACCAUUGGACAAGUAGCUUUUUCCAAUCUCCUAAGGCAUCACAAUUUUUGUUAUCAUAUAUAGGCAAUUCUUUUAUUUGAUAUUCAAAAGUCAAUUUCUAAAUACGCAGUCCAUAAUUUUUAGAGAUAAAUAAUUAUUUUAUAAUAUUUAAUAUAGUAUCAAAUUUUAAUACAAUUCUAUAUGUUGGCCUAUCAAAAAAUUUUAAGCUCAAACAAGGAUUAACCCUGGAUGUGGUUCUCUGUUGAUUUUUUCGAUGCAGAUGAAAUUGUAUAAGCAGAUUUUUUUUUAUUUCCUUAGAGCACGCAAAGCAAGAAUUUGUCAAAUCAUUCUCUAACACCUUAUAUAUAUAUAUAUAUAUAUAUAUAUAGAGUGAGGCUACUAUACUAUCGGAAGCACGGAGCCUUCCGUGCUUCCAGCUCGUUUUCGAUGUUGCGACUUUCGAAUCGUCGAUCGGCUCCGUUAAACUUGAUCUAGAGUAUUUGAAGUAUCUAGAAAAUAAAUUUUAUGAUUUUACGAUAUCAUUUGCCUAGUGAACGAAGGGGCUCAAAAUCAACGGCUGAAAAUAAAAAUCUUAUAAAAAUUCUUAAAAAUUUAAUAAUAUGACAUUAAAAUUUUAAAUCAAAGAUAUUGAUCUUGUUUUAUAUAGUAUAAAGAAUUUUCUAUCAAAAUUCAGUGAUUUGGAUAUUUCUACACCGUUAAACUUGCAAACGGCUCACUACGGCCAUUGAAAUUUGUUGAUUUUGGCACAUUCGAUUACUAGGCAAAUGAUAUCGAAAAUAAUAAAAUUUAUUUUCUAGGUACUCCAAAUACUCUAGAUCAAGUUUAACGGAGCGGAUCGACGAUCAAAAGUCGCAACAUCGAAAACGAGCCGGAAGCACGGAAGGCUCCGUGCUUCCGAUAGCACUAGUAGCCUAUAUAUAUAUAUAUAUAUAUAUAUAUAUAUAUAUAUAUAUAUAUAUAUAUAUAUAUAUACUUUUUGAAACAAAGGAUUUCUUACAUUAUUUAAGACACGCUCAUAACAUGCACAAAUUAGUUUGUAAAGCACAUACUUAUAUACAUUAGCAAAUGUUAUAAAUACCAAAAUUUUACUUUCGUUUUUUUCUAGUAUUCAAAAAUCAAUUUCAAAAUAUGUUAUACAAUAUGCUGAAUAUAAAUAUUAAAAAUAUCAUUCUGUAAUAGUUUCAGCGUGCGAACAAUAUUUAUUUCAUAUUAGUCUGAUAUUAUUUAAAUUUCUUUCACUUAAUUCAAAUUCACGUCCUGCGUCUAUUAAAAAGGUCUCCAGGCCGGUGCUUCAUAUUAAUUUGACACGGUCGCUCAUGUCUUAUUUUUCCUUUUUAUUUAUUUAUUUAUUUAUUUAUUUUUGUUGAAAUAUAUUUGUUACGUAUAUGUAUAGUGCAUGUUACCGGCAUUUUCUGAGUGUUGCAACGAAUUGAUCGAGAGGUGGGAGAAGCUUUUUGCUGCCGGAGGUGGUGGUGGCAGCGACGGUGAAGUGUCGCCGCAUAAGGAGGUGGACGUGUGGCCAGAAUUUCAAAGCUUCACGGGCGACUCCAUCUCCCGGACGGCGUUCGGAAGCAGCUUUAAGGAAGGGCGGCGCAUCUUCCAUCUCCAGAACGAGCUGGGCGAGAUCAUCGUCGAAGUGGCGCGACGUGUACUUCUUCCCGGAUACAGGUAGGUGAAUACAUAUUGUCCUAUUUGAAUGCAUAAUUAAACAUCUCAUUUGGUAUAUUUUCUUAAUUUGUUUAGAUUCUGUUUGAAUGUCAGAAUAAGUUACUCAGAGAUAACAAGUAUGACUAUGGAUAAGAAGUUUGAUUUUUUAUUUUAUUUUAAAUUUUGCUAUUUACUAUUUGAUAGAAUAAUAUAUUUAAUUUACAAAAUAAUAAUUUAUAUUAUUCUGAAAAAAACAUAUUUAUUGCAAUAAGAUGAAUAAUUUUAUAGAUAAAAUAUAUUAUGCUACUAAUCUACGAAUAUUAAGAUAUUUAGAAGGGCAAAAAUCAAGCCUCAUACUUAUAAUUAUAUUAGAAAAUUUUCAUAUAAAUUUUUUUGGAUAACUUAUUUUGAUAUCUAAACAAAGCUUUUAAGUGUCGCAUGGUUAGAUGCAUUUAUACUUGCAGACUCGUCUAAAAUCACUAGGAUUGAAUCAACGUAAUUUAUUAUAAAAUUUUGAAAAUUUAGAUGGUAAAUAUAAUAGUUUAAACCAUAUAUAAUUUCCUUCUUAGAUCAAUAUAAAGCAAAACAUUGUUACUCUUUCAUUGACACAGGUACCUGCUCACAAAAACGAACAAGCGAAUCGACAAAAUACUUGCAGAGAUUGAUGUGCUGAUGAGGGGAAUGAUUGAGCAAAGAGAGGAGGCCAUCAGAAAAGGAGGGUCCAGGAACACUGACUUGCUGGCCUUACUACUGGAGUCGAAUUUGAAGGAGAGUGCAGAGCAGGGAGGAUCCGAAACCGCGAUGACGACGGAGGACGUGAUCGGGGAAUGCCGGCUGUUCUACCUCGCCGGGCAGGAGACAAUGACGGUCCUUCUGACGUGGACGAUGGUCGCGCUGAGCAUGCACCCGGUCUGGCAGGCGCGGGCCAGGGAGGAGGUGUUACGAGCGUUCGGCAAGAGUAAGCCCGACUACAACGGCUUAAGUCGGCUCAAGAUUGUGAGUAUCCAAAAUUCGCGCAUCUCUCUUGAUCAGCGGGCAAUAACGAGAUACAAGUAAUGCUAACUCAUAAACAAUAUUUUGCUGCAGGUGACGAUGGUUAUAUACGAAGUCCUUCGCCUCUAUCCUCCCGCAACUAUGAUCUCGCGGGAAACAUACAAGGAGAUGAAGCUCGGAGAUGUCACAUACCCGCCAGGCGUAGAACUCGUUCUGCCCAUAGUGUUCAUCCACCGCGAUCCCGAAUUCUGGGGCCCCGACGCCGGGGAAUUCAACCCCGAGAGGUUUGCAGAGGGAAUAUCCCAAGCGUCGAGGGUUCCGGGCGCCUUCAUCCCCUUCAGCGGCGGCCCGCGGGUGUGCGUCGGCCAAAGCUUCGCCUUGCUGGAAGCGAAGCUGUGCCUCGCGAGGAUUCUGCAGCAUUUCUCGUUCGAGCUUUCGCCUUCGUAUGCUCAUGCUCCUUACAAUGCCCUAACUCUCCAUCCCCAGUUUGGUGCUCCAAUCAUCAUGCAUAGGUUAUAGAAUGAUCGUUUAAAUGUUAUGCGUAAGAGGAUGUCUGAGGAAUAUUAUGUUCCCAGUUAUUAUAUUUAUUGUAUGUACCUCUCCUGUAAUAAAAUAAAUUGGCUUUUGAUUAAUAAUGAGAUGGGGAGAUGGUUUUAGUUUUCAUUUGGAACCGUAAAUGCAGUAGUGUAUCUAAACUAGCCAAAUCAUCGUAGUGGAUAAAAAAUCACACUUUAAAAGCUUAUAAAAAUAUUUGGGGACUUGAGAGAGAAAAUAAACAAACACACACACAAAGUGAAAGGAUGAUAUUUCAAAUUGAUAGUGAUCAUCUCUUAAUUAAUACUUUCUCCCAGCAACUCAAUAAUGAGAACACUACAAGCUCGGAUAUAAGCAAAAACUAUUUAUUCCAUAGGUACAAGUUCAAAUUGUAAACAAGAAUUACACUAAUUUUGCAAUUGAAUGAAAAUUAAAUUAUUUUCAGAAAUAAGAAAAAUUGCGUUUGAAUGGAUAAGAUGGAAUAAGAAAAAUAGUUAGUAGUUAUAAAUAAAAAAUAUUGAUAUUGCCCUUUAUAUUAUAUUUAAAUUUAAAUUUUAUAUUUAAGUUUUUAAAUUUAAAUAUAUAACUUUUAAUUUUCAAAAAAGUUAAAAUUUAAAUUUAAAUUUUUAAAAUCUCAAAUUUGAAGUUCUAAAGUUUAAAUUUUAAAUUUAAGAUCAAAUCUAAAUUUAAAAAUAUAAAAUAUCACAAAUUUAAAAUUUAAAAAUUAAAAAUAUAAAUUUUUAAAAUUUAAAAUUAAAAUUAAAAUUUUUAAAUUUGAAUUUUUAAAAAUUAAAUAGGGGUGGGAAGAGUCGUUCCCACCCCUAUUCCCACAAAGGUGGGAAUAACUAUCCCACCCCUUAACGGACUUUUUUUUUGUGUUUGGAAAUAAAAAGGGGAUAACCCUUAUCCACCCUCUAUUGUCCAGUGAAAGAAAACAUAUAAAAAUAUUCCGAUUAGAAAAAAGAAUUAUAAAAUUUGGUUUCUAAAUAUUUCUAACAGCGUAGAUCAUUUCUCAUGGGGCCAAUCAUCGAAUUGGAUAUUUCAUCAUCAAAAAUAAUUUACAACCAUAGAUGUCUCCCUAAUUUUGAAAGCACAGAAAGCACAUGAAACUUGUUUAGUACACAGGAAUAAUUUUUUUUAUAUAAAUAUACAAACCCAAAAAAAAAAAAGACGGCCCUGUUCAGCAGGUCGGCCCAGCCCGCGCUACUGCGGGGCAGACGGCCUGCAGUGGGCGAGCGGGCCUGGUCUGCCUCCUGCUGCAGGACGGACCGGGCCUGCCAACUGCUGCAGGGCGGGCGGGCGAGCCUGAAAGCGGGGCCCGGCCGGCACUCCCGUAGCAGGCCUGGCCGCGCUUGCCCCACCCGCUGCGGGGCGGGACAAGGCAAAAAUAAAAAUUAAAAAAAAUACAACAGAUGUAAUCUUUUUCUAAUGCACGAAAUAGAGAAAAAAAAAAAACUGAUGUUAAAAAUAGGAAUAAUUUCAUAGAUGCCCCUCUAGAAACUAUUAAUUUCAUCAAUACCCUUCCAAAAUUAAUAAUAUCACAAAUACCCUCCAAAAUGUGAAAAAUUAUCAUAAAUACCCUCCUCUAGUUAAGAUUCAUUAAAGCCCAUUUGAAUCGGAGUUAAAUUUUUAAAAUACCAUUUUUACCCUUUAUCUCUUUUUAAUAGUAGAAAUACUAAUAGGUAUUUCAAAAUAAUUUUUGUAAAUCUAAAUUUGAGUAUUUAAUAUAUAAAUAGUUAAUUAAAUUAUUAAUAUAUAUUAAUUAAUAAAAAAUAUAUAAAAAUUGUAUUUUAAAUAUAGUAUGUUUUUAUCUGAUUUUGGUUUUGUUUUUGGUUUUGGGUUUCGGUUCAGAUUCGGUUUAAAUAUAGACCAAAACUAUAUAACUGAAUUUACAUACGACGGGAUUUUAUUUUUUGGUAUCUAUAACUAAAACUAUCCCCUAUUCAGCAUUGAUUAAACUUAUCCCAUUUUAAAUCGAGUUUAGAUAAAAUUCCGUAUCUAUAUCAAUUCACAUUCCUAAUUAGUAAUAGUAAUUUUGAAAUAAAUUAUAGAUUUUAUUUUUUUCCUAUUUAAAAAUAAAUCACAUAAUUGUUUUGUCGAUUGAAAUAAAAAGAGAGUUUUGUUCAAAAGCUAAAAUAUAUUAUAUUUCAGUUUUUUAAUACACUUAAUGCAGAUAAAAUUAUCGAGAAUAAUUUUGAUUAAAAAAAUUUUUAAGUUUUCAAGAUUAAAGAAAGAUCGGAUAAUUCCUUAACAUUAUUUUCAUUUAAAUUUUAUAUAUAUUUAUUUAUUUGAUAAAAAAUAAAUAGAGCCAUUAGAUUUGGUAAAAUCAUCAAAAAAAACUAAAAAAUUCUUUUUUUUUUAUACACUGAAAUUAGGUUUUUUUUAUAAAUAAAAAGUUAAUGGGAUAUCAACUAAAAAAUGAAAGUUGAGGGAGCUGUUUCAAAAUGCAUAUAGUUGAGGGGGUUUCCACACAUUUUUAGUUAAAAGAUAUUUGAGGGUAAAUAAGUCAUUUUAAAAAUUAACCCAUCUUUAACCAUGUAAUAACUAUAGUAAAACUAACCUAACUAACAGUAGGGGUAUUAAUGAUAAUUUUUUGUGUUUAUAGGGGUAUUGGUGAUAAUUUAAACUUUAUAGGGGCAUCUAUGAUAUUUUAAACUUUGGGAGGGGUAUCCAUGAAAUUGCCCCUUAAAAAUAAAACGCAAAUCCCACCUUCUCCUACGGAUUGAGAGUUUUCUUCUAUAUUCACACUCCAAAAAUACCGCGAACGUAGAUUUCAACGUAGAUAGAAAUCUCUGAAAAAAAAGAAGAAAAUCACAUGCAUUGAGAGUACUCUUUUAUAUCCACAUUUUAAAACUCCGACCUCAAAUCUUCAGGAACAUUAGUGAAAAUCUCAUAGAGAAAAAAAAAAACCGAAAGAAAAAAAUUGUAUUUAUAAAUUAUCGAUGCCCUUUAUUAUCUUCUAAAUCAUCCCGAUUAGGAUUAGAGUAUCUAUUACAAUAUAAUAAAUAUUAAUAAUAAAGAGAUGAAUUUCUUAACUAAUAAAAAAUAUACAGUCUAUUCUUAUUUUUAACUUAUUAGGAUAAAUAUUCAUCCACAUCUUAUGUGGAUUGGAUUGAAUUUGAUCUGGCCAAUACGGAUACAACACAUAGCAGCAUGUUUGUUGGUCUAAAGUUUUAAGAACUUUCGUUUCUACCACAAAUAAAAUUUCUUUAAGAAAAACAUUCAAAGAAGCAACCAAAAUUAACUAAAUUAUACAUUCACUUUAAUUUUCUCAUUACGAUUUUAAUUAUAAAAAAAUUAACCCCUAAACUUUCUCGCGCGUAAAAUUUGAAUUUCCAUGUUAUUUAAAUAAGCCUCCGUGUGAGGAGCAAAAUUAGAAUUUGCUUUGUUAAAAUAGAAACAGUCAUCACUAAAUUAAGACUGGGAUGAAACUUCAAUAAUUUAGAAAAUUUGAGAAUAAAAUCUAGAUAAGAGUCAAACUUCCACGGAUGAAGUUGUUCUAAUUAAAAUUUUGAGAAUAGAACUAAAAUUCUCAUGAAUUUUUUGUUUAAAGGUGAUUAAUAUUUUAAAAUAAGAAAUGUUUAUUUCAGAAAUAAAAAAGAACUGCUUAUUUCAUAAAUAGAUACAAAAUUCAGGUAUAAGCUGGAACUAGAGUAAUUUUUUAUUUGGAUGAAAAUUAGGUUGUUUUUGAGAAAAAGAUAAAUAAUAUUUGGAUGGCUAGAUUGGAGUAGCGGAAAGUAUUAAUUAAAAUAUUUAUUAGCUAUGAACAUUAUAUAAGAUAAUUAAAAUAAUUAAUUAAUUUAAUUAAUUAUAAAAUACAAAUUGAUUUUUUAAUUACUUAGUGAAUUAUUUAAUUAGUUAGAUGAGUUAUUGAGAAAUUAAUUUAAUUACUUGACCAAUAUAAAUAUUGGUUAUUAAUUGAACACAUUAAAUAAUUAAUUCUUAAUGAGCUAAUUGACUAUAAAUAAUAAAUAAACUAAUUGAUUAAUUAACUAUUUAAACAAUAGAUAAUAAUUCAAAUAUAUUAAUUAGAUUAAUUUAUAAGUUAAUAUAAUAAUUAAAAUUAGAUUUUAACUUUAGCUAAACAUGUUUCCAUUUGGAAGCAAACUUAUUCCUAAAAGAAAUUUUGGGGAACAGUGAGGAUAAAAUAGUCUUUUCACGAUCUAAAAAGCCACGCGUGAUAUACAAAGACCAUCUCAUGUGGUGGUAAAACAUGUUGUACUUGACCCAAGGGUGUGGUGGUGGCCUACCAAGGGUUCCAAUCAAACCCGUAAACGACCCGGCGUUUUGUUAGAUAUAAUAAGAGAAAACUUCAAAAACAUAUAGUUAGAAAUACAUAUAGUUUUUAUAAAUGCAAUAUAAAUAAAUGCAAUAUAGAUAGAAAUACAUAUAGGUUUUUUUUGACAGAUAGGUAGCACGCUACCCGAUUCGUUUAUUUCAUUUAGAAUAAACUUAGCUGGAAAUGUGAAUUAACUAGGAUUCAAAAUUGGGUCUCGGGUAUCAACCAUCAAACCCUUUUGCCACUUGCGCUAGGGACGGUCGGUAGAAAUACAUAUAGUUGAAACUAUAGUAGUUGUAACUACAUAUAUUUCAUUUGGCUGGAUGUAAUAGAAAACGCUGCAAUUACAAGUAAUUUGUUUGGUUAUAAUUAUAAAUAAUUUUUGAAAUAAUUUGGUAAGCAUAUGAUACCUCUAAAAUUUAGAAUAAUUUCAUAUAUAAAAUAUGAACUACGCUGAAGUACUAUCAACAGCACCGAGCGCUUAGUGCCAUUAGAUUUUCCGCCUUUGGAUGAAAAAAUAUACGAUUAGGAUUAUGUGAGCCCUCUAGGGUUGAGUGAGUUAUUGAUUGAAUAGUAUAAUCUAAUGGAUAAAAACAAUCAAAGAGUCAAAUCUAACGGCGGAAAACUUGGUAGCACCAAGCAAUUGGUGCUAUCGAUAGUAUCCCAGCCGGACUCUAUAAAAUAUAAUAGAAUGUAAUCUGAGGGCAUAUUUGAUUCAUAAUUGAAAUAAAAAAUAAAAAAUUAAAUUAAAUUGUUUCGGAAUUAAAAAUACAAUGAUGAAUCAUCCAAAAAUAUUUGGUUUAUUAUUGGAAUAAAAAUCGAAAUGAAAAUUUAGAAUUUUCGAGAGAGAAUUUUAAUUAAGAGAAAGAAAAAUGAUGAACGGAAAGAAGAUAGAUGUUGGUGAAAGUGGAUUUUGAAUAAUUUACUUUGAAAUGGGCCAAUUUGGAAUUCAAAGCCGGAUUGAGCACCAACUAUCCCUAGCGCAAAUGGUAAAGAGCUUGUGGUUGGUACCCGAAGUCCCAAAUUCGAAUCCUAGUUGAUUUACAUUUUCAGCUAAGUUUAUUUCUAAUUAAAAAGAAAUAAACGAAGCGGCUAGCAUGCUAUCUUUCUCUGAAAAAAAAAGUCGGAUUGGGCCAUAAAUGGAUUUAGCCCAUUUUCAUUCCGGAGUGGAAUGGGAACUAGAAUCCGAUUCUUAUAAAACAAACGACAACUAUUGAAAUUAAUUAAUUACAUUUUAAUUUCAUAGUGUAAAAUAGGUGAACCAAACAUAUCCUUAAUUCGGUUAUAUUAUUUUGGGCAGUAAUUAGACUCGAAAGGUUAAGAGGAUUAAAUUUGACUCGAAAGGUUGAGAGGAUGCUAAAGCAAUUAUAGGAUGAGUGAUUUUUUAGGAAGCAGAGUGUUUUUUAUAUCAGAGCAAAUCACCAGUUAGAAAUGUAAGAUAAAUUUCAACUGAGGUGAGAUGAGAUCAUACAGUGGGCAAAGUGCGACUCUCCGACUGUCGGCCGUUGUGAAUGGGAAGAUUAUACAGCGAGCAGAGCGCGGCUUCCCGAUUGACAGCUAUUGUGGGCAGAGCGCGACUGUUCACAAGGUCGGUAAAGACUAGCGAGAUGAGUGACACAUCGCCUGAUAUUUAUAAGGGGCAAUUGCCUAUAUACCUCUGAAAAGUGCUCAGUUUUCUUAUUUACCCCUCUUAGAAAGCUAAUAUUGAAAAUACCCUUCUUAUGUUCCAAGUCUUUCUAAUAUACCCCUGGAGUUAAGUUCCGUUAGUAAGCUGCCGUUAUCUCUGUAAAAUUACCAUUUUGCCCAUUCUAAAUAUACCCUUCUACCGUAACUAACUUUUCUUAUAUAUCCUUUAUAUAGCGAAUACUUUUCUUAUUUGCCCUUCAAAUAUCAAUUAAUUAAUUAAGCACGUCGGGAGCGAGCAGAUGAACGGAUGAGAUCGAUCGCAGCUAAACAAACCUUGGUGGUUGGAGACAUAGUUAGUUAAUUCAGAUUUGGCAAAAAUUCGGUACGGAUAAAAUUCGGAUAAAAUUCGUCUUUUAAUUUUUAAAUUUGUUGAAAAAUACGGCUAAAAAUUGGAUUAGGCAAUUAUUCAGAUACGUAAUUUUUACAGGUAUUAUGUGUUCACCAAUUAAAAAUUCGGAAUAAAAAAUUCGAAUAUAUAAUAAAUAUAUAAUAAUUAAUAUACUAUAUAUAUUAUUAUUAUAUUAAAUAUAUAUAUAUUAAAUAUAUAUAUUUAAAAUUAUAAUAAAUAUAUAUUAAUAAUAUAUAAGUGUUAUAUAUUUAAAAAUAUUAAUAAACUUAGAUUUGUGCAAAUCAGAAGACUAAUUUAUUCCAAUUAAUCUCAGAUAAUUAACUAUUCCACCCUAAUUAACUCUCCUAAUUAACUCUUCCACCCUAAUUAACUCUCCUAAUUAACUCUUCCACCAUAAUUAACUCUCUCAAUUAACUCUCCCAAUUAACUCUCCCAAUUGACCCUCGUACAGCACCCCUCCUCGUCCCCUUCCUCCGGCACCGACAGCACCCACCUCGACCACCGUCGCCACUCCAAACCUCGAGGGUGGCGACCCAUGAGGCAAUAUUGGUGAUCGGAGCUGCUGUUCCCGACAGAGGCAGAGACGAAGAACGGGUUUCUCAGCAACGAAGAAGGCGUCCACGGAGAUGGUGUCGAGGUGGAAGGCACGAUGAUGCUACCGGUGGUGAGGGAGACGAUGUCGACCCGCUCACAGCGAUGUUGAAUGUGACGAGAAGAAGGAGGAGGACGACGACGAGAUCUGCACAAAUCGCUGCGGCCCUCUUGCUCUUGGCGCCGGCCAAGGCGGCGGCAGAGGAGGAGGAGGACGACGAGAGCAACGACUAGCGGGCCGUUUUUUUGUGAGAAUGAGGCGAGGCUUCUUGGGGGCGAAGGUGGAGGCGGAGGAGCCGGCGCCAAGGUUGGCGGUGGUGGUGAGCUGCUGGCGCUCGCGGCGGCGGGCGGCGGGCGGCGGGACCCAAGUUAGGAGAGAGAGGAUAAGUUGGGAGAGAAAGAAAGGAUAAAUUAAGGAAAUGGUUUAAUAAGGUAGGGGUAAAAUAGGUAUUUUAAUUAGGUUUUAACUCUGGUAUACAUUUAAUCCAUGUUUAACCCGAGUUAAACUAAUAGGGGAUAACUGCGGAGGUAUUUUGGAAUAACGGUAGAACAUAUGAGGGGCAUUUUAGAAAGAAAAAAAAAAAUAGAGGUAGAUCGAAUAUUUCCAGACGCAUGAGGGAUAUAUAGGCAAUUAUCCCUAUUUAUAAAUGUGUUUGAGCGUGACAAAAACUUAAAGGAAGAAAGAAUGUGGUACCCUAAGGAUUCGAAAUAAUCAUAUAUAUAGGAUAUAAUAUUAUUAAAUAUCUCAAUCCGGCUAUAACAUUACGAGCGGUGAGGUUAAGAGGGUUAAAUUAUUAGAACUAAAAUAGUUCUAAAAUAGAUGACCAUCUUGAAAAGCGAGAUUAUCACACAUAUUAGUCAUCUACAUGGACGUGUCCUAGUACUGACUUUCAUGGGAGGGAUACUUUUAGAUUUAAGCCUAGGCCCAUGACCUAUAUCUGCUUGGUGAUUUCAGUUUUGGAACUCUGACUCGACGAUAGUUUUGCCAUGCGACUAAUUUAAAAAUUAAGUUUGUUGAGAAAAAAUGAAUGUUUGUAGUGGGUAGCGGAUCUGAAACCUGUUAUGAAUUUGCUUUUUCGUUUUGCCCGCGACAGAUUGAUUGUACUCUAAACUUUGUAAUCUUUUUUUUUGCUCGAUAGUGAAGCUCUCUUUAUUCGCCUGUGACUUUUUUUUGUAAAGAAUCUUAUAUAAAUCUGUGUGUUCUUUUAUUUUCUGUUUAUGAUUUGUCUACUUUGUGUACGGCAUGUUCGUUUCUGUUUGUACGUUUGUCAUAGCACACUCCGAUAACAGUAAUCGAUGUACUCUAACCCUAAAAAAAUAACUAGAUUUGGAUGAAAAUUUAGUUUGAAAAAUUAGAUCUAUUUAUACAAAUUAUUUUGUUCGGAAUAAAGUCUGAGUCGGAUCCUAAUAAUAAAAAAAAAAUCAGACAAACUUGAUCAACAACCCAAUUUUCCAAUAAUACAUUAAAUAGUAAAACGAGAUUAUAUUAUAUUAUUUUGAGAAGAUCAAUGCGGCGUUUCUUUGAUUAUGAUAUUUUUAUUUUGAAUGCAUGAAUUUUGUUCUUACUUUUGUCGAUCUCGUCGCUCAUUCCUUCGUGUCCAAGACAAGUAAUUUAGACUAUUCAAACACUUAACACGCUUAUACAAAGAAUUCUCCGUCCCCAUACCUUUUGUCACCUAUAAAAAGGGCCCAAUUAUAACUAAUUUGUCACGUAUCAUACAUAACAUAUCAUGUGCAUAGAGUGUUGAUUAAAAGGAAGCAAUCAUAUAACCAUGUUUUGGAGUGUGGUUCUGUUAUUAGGGUCUGCAGUGGCUGCAGGUUUUGUGGUGGUGUUCCUGAGAUUGUUGAAUUGGGCGUGGCUGCGGCCGCGGCGCCUCGAUCGCGCCCUGCGGGCUCAGGGCCUCAAGGGCACGACGUAUCGGUUCGUCUAUGGCGACGGUGCCCGCAUGGAGCAGCUCCGCAAAGAGCGCGAGGCGAAGCCCCUCCCGGAUCUAACCCACGAUAUAAUCCCGCGCAUCGCACCGCUGUUUCAAGAAGCCAUGAGGGAAUAUGGUACAUAGUUUUCUUCGGUUUUGCACGGUUUUGCAGAUUGUUGUUGUUCGUAUUUUGUUGCAUGCGUACAUAUUUUUAUAAACUUUUCGAUUCAUACUGCUUUGAGAUUUGUGGGGCUUUAUAGGUUUUUUGGAUUGUACUGGUUUGAAAUUCUUCGGCGGCUUCUUUGUUAAGCUAUAAGGAAAAGUUUAAUUGGAGUUUUGGACUUAAUUUCCCUUGUUAAUAUAUGUUUCAUGCACCUCAAAUGUAAAGUUUGAAUGUAUAAAUGCCUUAACACACCAUUUCAUUUUUUAAUUGUAGCCGUAACUGCAUGGUAAUUAUAACCGAAUGCAAAUUCAAAUUUGAUGUCGGAUUUAAUAAAUUUGGAUUCUGCUGAAGCUGUUUAAAUUACGCCCAAUUGAUCGCAGUUUCAACCCUAGCAAUAACUUUUACCAAAAUACAAGCUUAACUACAUCCCAAUAACCUUUUAAAUAUAAAAUUCUUAUUUUUUCUUUAUAGAGCAUAAUAUCAUCAUCCUAUAAAUAAAUCGAUAAAAUUAUAUAAAUGUAUUUCUCAACCGCAUACAGCUACACAAAUUAUUUAUAGUUAUAUUAUUUUCUACUAUAUACAAUCAAAUAAGAUAUAUAAAAUUAUAAUUAUUGUAUUUUCAAUUACAUUUACAAUUACAUCUAGCUAAACAGGUAAAUAAUUUUACUAAUAACUGAUUUUUUUUUUAUGUUUUUAAAUAAGGUAAAAUGUCAUUCGUUUGGCUUGGAACCCAUCCAGCUGUGACCAUAAUGGACCCAGAUUUGGUCAAGGAGGUUUUAUCAACCAAGUUUGGACACUUCCAGAAACACAAACCUGACUCACUAUCAAGGGUUGUGGUCACUGGUCUUUUACUUCAUGAAGGUGAGAAAUGGGCCAAUCACAGGAGAAUCAUCAACCCAGCUUUCCACACGGAGAAACUAAAGGUAAAUAUUUUGUGGUACUUUUAAAAGCAUCAAGAACUUGAUGCACAUAAGUUUUCUGCCGGUAGACCUAUUCUUUUAAUAAUUUCCACACGUUAGAUCAUGAUAUUCAACGAAUCACCUACUCAACCCUAUAAGUCCACCAUCAUCCUAACUGUACAUCUCUUAAUCUAAGGGCUAAAAAUCUACCAGUACCAAUGACUUGAUAUUUUUAGAAGUAUAGAAGUUCAAUUUAAUCUAAUCACUUCCUUCAAUAUCCCAAGCCUAGUUUUGCUUUAGUUUAACGUAAAAAUAAAUUGUUGGAACUGUUGGCUUAAAUGGAUCAGCAUCCUGCCCUGUGGCGGGAGGCCAUGUGGGCCGAGUCAUGUUCGAAAUGGCGUGAGGCUGGGUUGGGCCGAGUCAUGUUAGAAGUGGCGUGAGACCAGGUGGGCCGAAUCACAAUCGAGACCCGUGGGCGUUGUUUCUGUACGCUUUAAGUGAAUUGGUUGCGUAUUUCUAACAGCUCGAGCUUUUGGGAUUAAUGGUUAGCACCAACGAUCCGACAGGAACGUGCUCACUUUGAUGCUUUAGAAAGUUGGAAAUGUUCAAAGUUACAUUUUGGACUAAGGAUUUGGACCGGUUGGUAUAAAUAUCCCAAAUUCUAUCAGAACCCGAAUUCGAACAGAAUGAAUUUAUCUGACGCUAAACAGAACCCACCGGAUUUAGAUUUGAGUAUAGAUUUUAUUUGUAUCCUUACCCAAAUAAAUUUUAUAUUAUAUAAUUAUAUAUACGAAUGUUGUUAUAUUUGAAUUUGUAUUUUAAAAAACUAAAUUUUUAUAUAUAAUAUAUUUUGAAAUAUGGUAAAAAAAAGGUUUUCGAGAUCGAAUUUGGGUUUUCGGCUUUUGGUCGCUCAAAAUUCAUCAAAUUCGGAUUCGGAUUCAAAUUUUGGAUUUGGCUGUCUGAUUCGGUUUCGGGUUUUUAAAAAUUUACUACAAAUCCCUGCUUUGGACCAUUGGACUUGUAGCCUUUUCCAAUCUCCUAAAGUAUCACAAUUUUUGUUAGCGUAUAUAGGCAAUUCUUUUAUUUUAUUUUUAUAUUCAAAAGUCAAUUUUAAUGCAUGUGGUCCAAAAUUUUUAAAUAAUUAUUUUAUAAUAUUUAAUAUGGUAUCAAAAUUUAAGACAAUCUAUAUGUUGGAUCUAUCAAAAAAAUUUUAAACUCCGACAUAAACGAGAGUAUAAAUAUUAAAAAAAAAUUAUUCUCUAACACCUUUUAUUUUUUUUGGAAAUAAAGGAUUGUCUUAUAGUAUUUAACACACGCUCUUAAGAUACACAAAUUAUUUUGUACACCACAUUACACAUACUAAUAUACAUUAGCGAAUAUUACAAAUACCAAAACUUCACUUUCAUAUUUUCUAAUAUUCAAAUAUCAAUUUCAGAAUAUGCUAUGCAGUUUGUUGAAUAUAAAUAUUAAAAAUAUUAUUUUUUUAGUAGUUUAAGCUUUUGACUAACAAUAUUUAUUUCAUAUUAAUUUAACAUAGUAUGAAAGUAGAAGAUUCCGAAUUUGAGUUCCGUUAUAUUACUUGUUUAUUUAAUUUUUAUCGUUUAAUUUUAAUUCACGCUGUGCACCUAUUAAAAUGGUCUCCAAACAAUUGUUUCAUAUUAAUUUAACACGGUCCCUCAUGUCUCGUAUUCUCUUUUUAUUUUCAUUCUUUUUUGUUGACAUAUAUGGGUUAUGUAUAUGUAUAGUGCAUGUUACCGGCGUUUUCUGAGUGUUGCGACGAAUUGAUCGAGAGGUGGGAGAAGCUUUUUGUUGCCGGAGGUAGUGGUGACGGUGAUGGUGAAGUGUCGCUGCAUCGGGAGGUGGACGUGUGGCCAGAAUUUCAAACGUUCACCGGCGAUGCCAUCUCCCGGACGGCGUUCGGGAGCAGCUUCGAGGAAGGGCGGCGCAUCUUCCAGCUCCAGAACGAGCUGGGCGAGAUCGUCGUCGACGUGGCGCAACGUGUACACCUUCCUGGAUACAGGUAUGUGAAUACAUAUUGUCCUAUUUGAAUGCAUAAAUAUCUUAUUUCGUAUAUUUUCUUAAUUUGUUUAGAUUAUGUUUGGAUAUCAGAAUAAGUUAUUUAAAGAUAACGUAUUCGAUCCAUAAGAAAUUCUUUCAGUAUGACUGUGGGUAAGGAGUUUGAUUUUUAUUUUUGUUUUAAAUUUUCCUAUUUAUAAUUCGAUAGAAUAAUAUAUUUUAUUUCUGAAAUAAUUUAUAUUAUUCUGAAAAAAAUAUACUUGAAAUCUAAGUAUAGUAUUUUAUUCUAAACAUUUGAUUACACUCUUUAUCAAUUAAAUAUAUAAAUUUUUUAAGCAAAUUAUAGGAAUGUAUAGAAACAAGAUAGAAUAUACAUAAAAAAACAAGGCCUCUUAUUCGAUAUAUCUUUUUAAUGUACUCAAAAAAUAUAUAGUUUUUUAUAGAUGAAGAGUGUGAUCGAAUACUUAGAAUAGAUAUUAUAUUCAAACUUAAAGUUUAUUUUUUGAAAUAAAAUAAAUUAUUUUUUAGAUAAAAUAUGUUAUUCUAUCAAAUCAGAGAUCCUAAGGUUUUUCAAUGAACAAAAUCUAAAUAACUAAAUUCCAAUCACAUAAUAGUGGAUUAAAAUAAUUAUGAUUAAAUGUCUAGAAUGAAAUAUAAUAUAUUUAUUGGAAUAAGAUAAAUAAUUUUAUAGAUGAAAUAUAUUAUCCUACUAAACUAUAAAUAUUAAGAUAUUUAGAGUAACAAAACUCAAGCCUCAUAAGUAUAAUUAUACUAGAAAAUUUUUGGGUUAUUUGCAUACACGUCCUUCCAAACAUAGUAAAUUGCGGAUAUAUCCCUGCAAAUUGGAAACUCCAUAAGUUAUCCCUGCAAAAGUCCUAAGUUAUGCAGAUAUGUCCCUACCGUCCAGAUCUGCUAGAAAAUUUUCAUUAACCACGGUUAAAAUGCUUAACUAUGGUUAAGUGUAGUGUAAAUUGACGUAUUUACCCUUCUUCCUCUUCCUCCUCUUCCUCUUCCUCUUCCUCGUCGCCGGCGAGGAGAUGCGGUGGCGACGGCGGCAAUGGUGGCGAACCCUCUUCCUUUUCCUCUUCCAUCUUCCUCUUUUUCCUUCUUCUUCCUUCUUCCUUCGUUUUCUUCCCUCUUCUUCGUCACCGGCGAGGGAGAAGAAUCUCGUCGAGGUCGGUCUCGGAGGAAAGGCGGGCGAGUUUCUGGACGAGAAGCUCGAGGGCGUUGUUGUCGACGAGGGCGGCGACGAGGGCAUGUGCGGGGUCGUCGUGGUCACCGAGGACGUCGGCGUCGGUGAGGUCGGUGGGGAGGGAGACGACGUCGCCGGCGAUGUCGACGAUGUCGUGGCCGAGAAGGCCGACGAGGGAGGGGACGCCGUUGAGGGCGACGAGCUCCGGGUAGAGCUCCGGUGCUCGGCGUUCUUCCCUCUUCUUCGUCGCCGGCGAACCUGACCCAGCGCCGCCGCCGCCGUCGUCUGCUUCGACGGUCCGAAAAGGAAAAGAAAGAGAAGGGAAAGAGGAAAACUUUUGGAGGGAUAUAUUUGUGAUUGUAAAAUGGUCAUUUCACGACUUCGCUGUUAAAAAACAAACAGCUCACUAACAGAUGUUAACUGCAGGGACAUAUCUGCAUAACUUGGGACUUUUACAGGAACAACUUAUGGAGUUUCGAUUUUGCAGGGAUAUAUCCGCAAUUGGCUAUGUUUGCAGGGAGCUGUAUGCAUUUGACCCAAAAUUUUUAGACAAAUACUCCUGGGUAACUUAUUCUGAUGUCUAAACAAAGCCUUAACUGCCGCUUGGUUAGAUGCAUUUAUACAUGCAGACUCAUCUAAAAUCACUAGCAUGCAUUCUUUAUCGUUCCUGUACGGAUUGAGUAGUAUUAAUCAUUUUAAAUUGAUGAAACAUGAAUCGAUGUAGUUUAUUAUAAAAUUUUGAAGUUUAGAGGGUAAAUAUAAUAGUUUAAACCAUAUAUAAUUUCCUCUUUAGAUCAAUUUAAAGCUAAAAAACGUUACUCUUUCAUUGACACAGGUACCUGCCCACAAAAACGAAUAAGCGGAUGGACAAAAUACUUGCAGAGAUUGAUGUGCUGAUGAGGGGAAUGAUUGAGCAAAGAGAGGAGGCCAUCAGAAAAGGAGGGUCCAGGAACACUGACUUGUUGGCCUUACUACUGGAGUCGAAUUUGAAGGAGAGUGCAGAGCAGGGAGGAUCCGAAACCGCGAUGACGACGGAGGACGUGAUCGGGGAAUGCCGGCUGUUCUACUUCGCCGGGCACGAGACGACGGCGGUCCUUCUGACGUGGACGCUGGUCGCGCUGAGCAUGCACCCGGCUUGGCAGGCGCAGGCUAGGGAGGAGGUGUUACGAGUGUUCGGCAGGAGUAAGCCUGACUACAGCGGCUUAAGUCGGCUCAAGAUUGUGAGUAUCCAAAUUCGCGCAUUCCUCUUGAGCACCCACUUGUUGGCUUGAAAGGCCAGCAUCCUAGCUACCUCGUGGCUACAAAUUAGGUUGGGUCAAGUUAUAUUCGAAAUGACGGGAGAUCAAAUUAAACCGAAUUAUAAUCCAAACACGUAGAUGCAGAGUCUGGACGUUUUAAAUCAAUUGGUUCCAUCUAUCUAACAUCUCGAUUAUUUGAAACUAAUAGUUCACACAAAUAAUCCUAUAAGUAGUAUCAAAGUCAGAGGUCACGAAUUCGAUUUUCGCAUACUGCAAUUAAAUUUGUACAAAUAUUCAGAGAAGAUUGUUGGCUUAAAAAGACUAGCAUCCCAGCAUGCUGCCGCGUGAUAGAACCGGUAGGCGUUCUAUAACCUUCGUCUAGUAUUUUGCAAUUUACACUGAGCUAUGAGGUGAUAAAUUUAUAAAUUGCGGCAUAGGACACAGGGUUUCUGAACAUUUACACUAUGAAUCGUUUGGCGAAACUUGAUACUGAAACUUGAAAUAACAAGUUAGAAUGCUGACACAGAAACAACAUUCUACUGCAGGUGACAAUGGUUAUAUACGAAGUCCUUCGCCUCUAUCCUCCUGCGACUAUGAUCGCGCGGGAAACAUACAAGGAGAUGAAGCUAGGAGAUGUCACCUACCCGCCGGGCGUAGAACUCAUUCUGCCCAUAGUGUUCAUCCACCACGAUCCCGAAUUCUGGGGCCCCGACGCUGGGGAAUUCAACCCCGAGAGGUUCGCUGAGGGAAUAUCCAAAGCGUCGAGGGUUCCGGGCGCCUUCAUCCCCUUCAGCGGCGGACCGCGGGUGUGCAUUGGCCAAAACUUCGCCAUGCUCGAAGCGAAGCUGUGCCUCGCGAGGAUUCUGCAGCAUUUCUCGUUCGAGCUUUCGCCUUCAUAUGCUCAUGCUCCUUACAAUGUCCUAACCCUCCACCCCCAGUAUGGUGCUCCAAUCAUCAUGCAGAGGCUAUAGAAUGAUCUUUUAAAUGUUAUGCGUAAGAGGAUGUUUGAGGAGUAUUAUGUUCCCAUGCAGUUAUUAUAUUUAUUGUAUGUACUCUCAUGUAAUAGAAUAAAUUGGUUUCUGAUUAGUAAUGAAAUAAAAGAAGUAUCUAAAUUGAGAUGAGGCGAUGGUUUUAGUUUUCAUCUGGAACCACAAAUUUGAGCCUAAAUUAAGAGAAGUUGAGAUAAUUAAAUGCAGUAGUGUAUCUAAACUAUGGAUAAAAAAUCACACUUUAAAAGCUUAUAAAAGAUAUUUGGGGACUCAAGAGAGAAAAACAAAACACACACACACAAAGAGAAAAGAUGAUGUUUCAAAUUGAUAGUGAUCGUCUCUUAAGACUUUCUCUAAGCAACUCAAUAAUGAGAACACUCAAAAGAAACAAACAAAACUAUUUCCAAAAAAAUAAAUAAAUAAAUAAAUAAAAAUCCAAGAAAACAGCGCAAAAACAAAAUGAUACACGAUUAUUGAAACCUGCUAAGAAUAGUAGUAACAAGCAACUAUAUGAAGAAAAAUAUAGGCAACAUAAAAAGAGUGCGCGAUUCUUAUAGUUGAACUACUCAUACUGUAAUUCCUGCAAUCUCAUUAACAUAAUUCACCGAAAACAAGAAGAUCAAACCGGAAAGUUUCACACAAGAAGUUAUUUAUAAUGCCUGGGUGAUGUAUCUUUCGAAUUUGGAAAUAGGUAGUGGAGAGUACAUUUACAGGCUACAUCCAGUUUUUCUGUAAAUGUAACUGUAACAGUAAAUGUUGAACGCCAAAUAAACUCUGACAGACCUACGUAUAUCUUCCCCCNNNNNNNNNNNNNNNUCUCUCUCUCUCUCUCUCUCUCUCUCUCUCUCUAGUUAAGUUCUUGUGCAUUAAUUCGAAAAUACAGAGGCAUUCGUGCUUGUAAAGUAUAUUUGAUAAUGAGAAAUCAAAUUUGACGAUCAAUUCCGUUAGACAUAAUUUAUAAUGUUGGAACUAUCUAGAAAAACAAAAUUUUAUAAUUUUUUUGAUUUCAUUUGUCUAGUAAAUAAGUAGUCUUAAAAUGAACAGUUGAAAAUAAAAAAAAUAUAUAAAAAUAGUUAUAACUCAAAUUUCAAAUCGAAAGUAUUGAUCUUGCUAUUAAUAUUAGGUAGAAUUUUAUAUUAAAGCUUAUAUGAUUUGAAUUGUUUCAUACCUUGAAGUUACAAACGUGCCACAUCAGUCGUUAAAUUAGUCAUUUCUGAAACUCUUUGAUCACUUGGUAAUAAUGUCGAAAAAUUAUGAAAUUUAAUUCUAAAUAAUUCUAUUAACGUGGAUCAUACCUAACGAACCCGAUCAUCGAAUUAAACGUCCUAUCAUCGAAAACAACUUAUAAAUAUUGAAGUCUUCUUACUUUGGAAAGCACAAAAAAUGUACUAUAUAUAUAGUGUGGAGCUACUAUACCUUGAGAAGUAUAAAGGAGUUGGUGCUUCCAACUUUUUGACUCUUGGAUCAAAAAUUGUAGGGUUAAAAUGAUAGUGGUCACGCCUAAGAUUGAGUGAUCCACUUAGAGUUGAGUGGUCCCCUGAGAUAAUAAUAUUAAUUCAAAGAUUAGAAUUGGUCGAAGGGGUCGAUCUAAGGAUUAUAAAAUAGGAAGCACCACAUGAGUGAUGCUUUAUAGUCGGAAUAUAUAUAUAUAUAUAAUUAGACUGGAAUGCUUCUAAUAGCACUAAAUUAUUGGUGCGAUUAGAUUUUCGGACUUUGAAUGAAGGAAUGUGUGAUUAGGAUGAUAGUGGUCUUCUAUAGUUGAGUAGGUAGUUAAAUAGUAUAAUCUAACGGAUGAAAAUAGUCAAAGAAGUAAAUUUAAUGGUGGAAAACUUGGUAGCAUUAAGUGCUUGGUGCUAUUAGAAAUACUCCACUCGGAAGCACUCCAGCCAAACACACUCUCUCUCUCUCUCUCUCUCUCUCUCUCUCUCUCUCUCUCUAUAUAUAUAUAUAUAUAUGCCUGGCUACUAUACUAUCGGCAAUACGGAAGCUUCCAUGUUACCAUAUUGUUUUUAAUGAUGCGGCUUCCAUAUCGAUUGUUGGCUUAGUUAGACUUAAUUUACACUAUUAAAAGCAUUUAUAAAUCAAAUUUUAUAAUUUUUCGACAUCAUUUAUCUAUCAAACGAGUAGUCUAAAAAUGAAUGACUGAAAAUAAAAAUCUCGUAAGAUGAUAAAAAAAUUUGAAUUUAAGAUCAGAGAUACUAAUCUUUCUCUAAAUUGUGAAAAAAGUUUCGACAAAAAAUUUACUGAAUUUGGAUUAUUUUACACUAUUAAAUUUACAAUCGUAUCACAUCGGCUAUUAAAAUUAUCAAUUUUAAGACUAUUUGAUCACUAGUCAAAUAAUGUCAAAAAAAUAUAAAAUGUAGUUUCCAAGUAUUUCUAAUAACGUAAAUCAUAUCUAAUAAAAUCAAUCGUCGAUUUGAAAGUCGUAUUAUUAAAAAUAACUUAGUAGUAUGAAGGUUGAUCUCCGUGCUACCAGUAAUAUAUAUAGUUGCUGUGUUCAUGUAUACACACAUACGUAGGAAUUAAAUGAAUAUGAAGCUUUAAAGAGAGAAAAAAAAACAUUUUGAGAGAGAUAGGUAGCACGCUACUCGCUUCGUUUAUUUCAUUUAGAAAUAAAUUUAGCUGGAAAUGUGAAUCAACUAGGAUUCGAACUUGGGUCUCGGGUACCAACCACCAAGCCUUUUGCGACUUGCUCUAUGGACGGUCGGUAAAAAAAAAAAGAAAAAAAAAAAACAUUUUAUGGUUAAGAAAUGAUGUUCUUCUGAGCUUUAUAUGCAUCCUUUGUAGGAAUAGUUUUUUUUUUUUUUUUUUUUUUUUUUUUUUUUUUUUUUUUCACUCUCUCUUCCCUUUCUUACUUUUGUCUUUAUAUCUUAGCUGAUUCCUUACCGUUCAACACAUCUUAUGGAGGAAGUGACGAGGAAAGUUUAGACAGAGGAAAAAAAAAAAAAAGGAAAAAAUAUUUUUUCCUUUUUUUUUUUAUUUUUUUACUUUUGUCCUUACCGUUCAAGGCGUCUUAUUUAGAACAUUCAAACACUUAACACGGUUGUACAAAGAAUUUUCAAAACCAACCCUUAAUUUCCAUUCCACUUUGUCGUAUCAUUUCUCUUCUCAUAUACUUUGCUAUAAAAAGCGCCCAAUUGUGCCUAAGGCAUAGUGUAUUAUAACAAAGUAAGCAAGUAACAAUGUUUUGGAGUGUAGUUUUAUUAGGCUUUGUUGCAGUAGCUGCAGGUUUUGUGGUGGUGUUCCUGAGACUGUUGAAUUGGCUGUGGCUGCGGCCGCGGAGGCUCGAUCGCGCCCUUCGGGCCCAGGGGCUCAGGGGCACGACGUACCGGCCCAUCUAUGGCGACGCCAGCCGCAUGGAGCAGCUCCGGAAAGAGCGCCAAGCGAAGCCCCUUCCACCGUCCCACGAUAUAAUCCCGCGCGUCGCGCCGCUGUUUCAAGAAGCCAUGAGGGAACAUGGUACAUAGUUUUUCUUCGGUUUUGCAGUUCCUUGUUGAUCGGUUUUUGUUGCAUAUAUACUUUUAUAUAGAUUUUUCAAUUCAUACUCUUCUCUUUGACUCGUGCAUCUUAUUUUAAAUUCUCCUACAGCUCUAUAGUUUUUUGAGUUCGAUCAUGUCCCUUGCUAAUAUCGACUUACUAUAUAUACUUCAAAAGCAAAAUAUUUGAUUGCAUGCAUAUACCUUUCAUAAAUUGUAUAAAUAAACUUCUCAAUGCAUGGCACACAACAAAGCAAAUUAUUUAUACUUACAGUGUUUUUUAACUAUAUAUAUAUAAUAAUUGCUGCAUUUUUUAUUGCAUUUACAAUUACAUUCAACCAAACAGUUUCUCAGAAUAAAUAAUUUUGCCAAAUAAUUGAUUUUUUUUGUUUUUUUUAAAUAAGGUAAAAUAUCAUUCAUUUGGCUUGGACCCCAACCAGCAGUGACCAUAAUGGACCCAGAUUUGGUCAAGGAGGUUUUGUCAACCAAGUUUGGGCACUUUCAGAAACACGAGCCUGACUCAGUAGAAAGGCUUGUGAUCACAGGGCUUUUACUUCAUGAAGGUGAGAAAUGGGCCAAUCACAGGAGAAUCAUCAACCCUGCUUUCCACUUGGAGAAACUAAAGGUAACUAAGAUCACUUCUCUUCCUUCAAAUCCCAACCCUAGUUUUUUGCUUUAGUUUAAGGGGAUAAUAAGUUAUCCAUGCUUUAGAAAGCUGGAAAAGUUCGACCCUACACUUUGGGCUAGGGAUGUCGAUGGAUACAGAUAUCCAAAAUUUCAUUUGAAUUCAAAUUCAAACAUAACGAGUUUAUUCGAUACUAAACGAAUAUAGUUUCGGAUAUGGUUAUAAAAAAAUAAAAAUCUGACAUAUUUAGAUUCGGAUAUAAAUUUUAUUUUAAUCUACAAGUCUAAAAUAAUAGAUUAUUAAAUUUGUAGAUUAAAGCAUCGCCGCUCCAAAUUCAAGAAGAUUAAAACAAAGAAAUGAGUAAAACUACGAUGGGAGAUUGUGGUGCCCACUUUCAAGGGAGUCUCCUAUUCUAUAACUACUUUAGUCCCUGCACGUUUGGCAAUCUUAACCUCUUAAGUUUAGUCACUGCAAAAAAUACUAUUGUCGGGUUAAGAUAUUUAGUCAUAUUAUAUUUCACAUAUAAUACUAUAUAUUUUAAAUCUUGGGGGUGUCACAAUUCUUUCCUCUUUAAGUCCUGACAUGUUUCUGAAGUUCAAGCAUAUUCACAAGCAACAAGCAAUAUAAAACUCAUCUUGCUAGUCUUUAGCUGACCUUGCAGAGAGCCACGCUACACCCAUAAUAGUCAUAAGUCGAGAAGCCGUGCCUUACUCACUGUAUAACCUUGGCUCCACCGAAAUUCAUCUUGUAUUUUCGACUAGUGCUUGAUUCUGAUACAAAUUGUGACAUCCCGCUUUUCAGAGGAUCACCCAUUUUAGAACUGCUCUAAUCCCAGCAUACUUAAUCCUCUUAAUUUCUUGGACCUAGUAACAAUCCAAAAUGUUAUAGAGAAAUUAAGAAAUUUAUUUCUAUUAUAUUUCAUAUACAAGGCUAUUUUAAAUCUUGCUGGUGUCGCAUGCACUCACCCAUCAGCCUAAUAUAUAUAUUUACAUUUUCCUUUUUCUCUUUUUUACAUUGACCAAAAUACUCGCCAUCAAUUAACCAAUAGUUUCUAUCCUAUCCGAAUUCGAAUAAAUUUUAUAUUAUAUAAUAUAUAAGAAUGUUUGAUGUUAUAUUUCAAUUAAUAAAUAUUAAUAUAAUAAGUUUUAAAAUGUGGUAAGGAAAAAUGAUUGCUUGCAGAUUCAGGUUUUCGGGAUCGAAUUCGAAUUUUGAAUUUUUGGUCAGAUUUGAUUUUAAAUAUAAAUUUUUAAAAUCUGCCGUACUCCAAAAUUUGAAUUUGCAUUUUAAUUUGAUUGCCAGUUUCAAAUUCAAGUUUUUAAAAAUUUGCUACGAAUUCGAUCCAUUGACAUCCCUGGAGGCGACCUUUCCAUUCUUCCGAUCCCUUGAAAUAGUGAUGUUUUUAUGGCCUAUCAAAAAGUUUCAAACUCAGAUAGAAAACGAGAGUAUUGAACAUAAAUAUUAAAAAAAACAUCAUGCAUCUAAUACGUUCUGUUUUUUGAAAAAACGAUCCCCUUAUAUUAUUUAACACACGCUUAUAAUAUAUAUGCACAGAUUAAUUUGUACAGUACGGACUAAAACACAUUAGUGAAUAUUAUAAAUUCCGAAAUUUUACUUUCUUUUUUUAAUAUUCAAAUAUCAAUUUCAAAAAUAUAUGUUAUACGGCCAUUGGAUAUAAAUAUUAAUAAUAUUAUUUUUUUUAAUAGCUUAAGUUUUUGGAGAUCAAAGUCUAUUUCAUAUUAAUUUAAUAUGGCACCAGAAUAGAAGAUUAUAAGUUUGAGUUCCAUCAGAUUUCUAACUUUAUUUAAUUUUCUUCCAUUUAAAUUCAAAUUUACGUCAUGUACAGUGCAUGUUACCGGCGUUUUCUGCAUGCUGCGACGAAUUGAUCGAGAGAUGGGAGAAGCUUUUUACUGCAGAAGGAGGUGACGGUGAAAUGUCGCUGCAUCGGGAGGUGGACGUGUGGCCCGAAUUUCAAAGUUUCACCGGCGACGUCAUCUCCCGCACGGCGUUUGGGAGCAGCCUCGAGCAAGGGCGGCGCAUCUUCCAGCUCCAGAACGAGAUAGGCGAGAUUGUAUCCCAUAGGCACUUUCCUGGAUACAGGUAUGCGUACAUUACGACUCUAUUUGGAUGCAUGAAUAAUUUAUUUAGCAAAUUCUUUUAAUUGAUUUAAUUCUGUUUGAAUGUCAUAAUAAAUUAUUCAAAGAUAAUGUAUUUCGUGUAAAACUGUUUUAGUAUGAUGGUAGGUAAGAAGGUUUUUUUUUUUUUUUUUUUUUUUUGGUUCUUCAAAUAUUUUGCUAUCUAUGGUAUCUAUGGUUUAAAAGGACAACAUAAUUCAUCCACAAAAUAGUAUAUCUUAUUAUGCAAAAAUAACUUAAAAUUUAAAAAUAAUAUUUCAUUCUAAAUAUUUCAUCAAACUCUUUACCAAUAAAACACAUAAAUUUUUCGAGUAAAUCAAAUAGAUAUACCGAACAAGAUUGUCAUACAUCCAAACAGGGCCUUUUAUUUGAUAAAUUUUUUUGAUUCACUCAAAGAAUAUGUCAUAUUUGAUAGAUUUGGAGUGUGAUCGAAUAUUUAGAAUAGAUAUUAUAUUCAACCUUAAAGUUUAUUUUUCAAAAUAAAAUUAAUUAUCUUUAGAUAAAAUAUACUAUUAUACCAAAUUAUGGAUCCAAAGACUUUUCAAGGAACAAAAAAGCCAAACAACUAAAUUCCAAUCACACAAGAAAAUUUUUAUAGGAAAUGAGUUAUCAUUGAAUAUCUUACUCCAAAACCUAAACAAAGCCUUAAUAAAUCUAUAUAUUUAGUGCAUUAAAAUUAUGAUCAAAUAUUUAGAAUGAAAUAUAGCACAUUUUUUUGGAAUACGACAAAUAAACUUACAGAUGAAAUAUAUUAUUCUUGCAAAUUAUGAAUAUCAUGACAUUUAGAGGAACAAAAAUCAAACCUCAUACUUAUUAUAAUCAUACUAAAAAGUUUUCAUAAAGAUACUUUUGAAUAGCUUAUUCUGACAUCUAAAUAAAGGUUUAAAUUUGGUUGGAUAUAUUUAUAUAUGCAGCACAACACUUAAAGAUGUAUAAAGUUAAAGGGUUAAAUGCAUCAAACUCAACCAAACUAUCCUCUGUUUACACUUAGCAUCCUAAACUUUCAAAAUUUAUAUCUUUCACCUGAGCUGUUAAAAUUUACAAUUGACCAACUAAGUUUAUAUUUUAAUAAUUUAAAGUGAUUAAAUUUAGUCAAAUGCUUAAAAUAUAAUAAAAGAUAAAUGCUUAAGAAUGAUAAAGGAUAAAUGCUGGCAAUAGAAAAGAAACUUUCUUAUGUCAAAAUUCAGUUUCUUGCAGUAUAAAAUUAAUAUUUAGUAUUUGAGUUUUACAAAUUAAAUGUAAUAAUUAUGGCAAAUUUCAUCCAAAUGAAGUGAAUUUUAGCAUCAAGAAGACUCAUCUAAAUCACUAGCAUGCGUUCUUUAUUGUUUCUGUACCGAUUGAGUAAUGUUAAUCACUUUAAAUUGAUAAAAUAUGAAUCUACGUAUAUAGCUAAUUUUUUAAAAAAGUUUAAAUGACUAUUUGCAAAUAAGCGAAAGNUUUUUUUUUUUUUUGGUAGCUUGAAAAUAUCUUUGUUUUUUUUCCCCAUAAAUCGGGUUAUUUUUGGGUUUGGUUCAAACUAGAAUGGUUGAACUUAAGAGCACCUGUACACCAGUAAUUAAUUGUGUGAAACCUUUUAAUUUCUUGUGGAUCAUACAAUUUAGAAUUUACUCUUAGGUAAUAUACAUGAGAAGUAAAAUUAACCUACCCAUGUUUGAUAGUAUCACAUCAAAUUCAAGUAAAUAAUAUAUUUGCAAACCAUAGGAUAGUAUAGUUUAUAUUAUAGGACAGUAAAAUGUUAUAUUGUAUUGCCAUGUGGUUUGCAAAAAAUAUCACUUUACCGACCAAUUUAAUAAUAAAGUUCUACAAUCUACAGUGUAAAAAAUAAAUAAGUAAAAUCAUAGGACAAUUAAUCAUAACCUUUUGAACCAUAAGGUGGCUUUUACACAUUGUGCUCGCGGACUUCGACUGUGAUUCGGUCCAACUCGGCCUUUGCCAUGUGCAGGAUACUAGCCUAAUUCGUUUUCUAAUUUCCUUCUUCGAUCAAUUUAAAGCAAAAAAAAUGUUACUAUUUCCUUUACACAUGCAGGUACCUUCCCACAAAAACGAACAGGCGAAUCGACAAAAUGCUUGCAGAGAUUGAUGUGCUGAUGAGGGGAAUGAUUGAGCAAAGAGAGGAGGCCAUCAGAAAAGGAGGGUCCAGGAACACUGACUUGCUGUCCUUACUACUGGAGUCGAAUUUGAAGGAGAGUGCAGAGCAGGGAGGAUCCGAAACCACGAUGACGACGGAGGACGUGAUCGGGGAAUGCCGGCUGUUCUACUUCGCCGGGCACGAGACGACGGCGGUCCUUCUGACGUGGACGAUGGUCGUGCUGAGCAUGCACCCGGCCUGGCAGGAGCGGGCCAGGGAGGAGGUGUUACGAGCGUUCGGCAAGAGUAAGCCCGACUACAGCGGCUUAAGUCGGCUCAAGAUUGUGAGUAUCCAAAUUCGCGCAUCUCUCUUGAACCGGCAAUAACAAGUUAGAAUGCUGACGCAGAAACAACAUUUUACCGCAGGUGACGAUGGUUAUAUACGAAGUUCUUCGCCUCUAUCCUCCCGUGAUUAUGAUCGCGCGGGAAACAUACAAGGAAAUGAAGCUAGGAGAUGUCACCUACCCGCCGGGCGUAGAACUCAUUCUGCCCAUAGUGUUCAUCCACCACGAUCCCGAAUUCUGGGGCCCCGACGCCGGGGAAUUCAACCCCGAGAGGUUCGCUGAGGGAAUAUCCAAAGCUUCGAGGGUUCCGGGCGCCUUCAUCCCCUUCAGCGGCGGCCCACGGGUGUGCAUCGGCCAAACCUUCGCCUUGCUGGAAGCGAAGCUGUGCCUUGCGAGGAUUCUGCAGCAUUUCUCGUUCGAGCUUUCGCCUUCGUAUGCUCAUGCUCCUUACCAAGUCAUAACUCUCCAUCCCCAGCAUGGGGCUCCAAUCAUCAUGCAUAGGUUAUAGAAUGAUCUUCUAAAUGUUAUGCGUAAGAGGAAUGUUUUAGGAAUAUUACGGUCCCAGUUCUAUUUAUUAUGUACUCUCAUGUAAUACAAUAAAUUGGUUUCUGAUUAAUGAUGAAAUAAACAGGUUCUAUAAAUUGAGAUGGGGAAAUGAUUUGUCUUCAUGUGGAACCAUAAAUCAACCAUAAAUCUGACCCUAAAUUAAGAGAAGUGUACGAUAAAUGCAGUAGCGUAUCUGAAGAUUCUGAACUAACCAAAUCAUCAUAGUGGUUAAAAAAUCACACUUCAAAAGCUGACAAAAAUAUUUGGGGAUGGAAAAAAACCACACGCACAAAAAGUGAAAAGACGAUGUUUCAAAUUGAUAGUGAUCGGCUCUUAAGACUUUCUCUAAGCAACUUAAUAAUGAGAACACUCCAAAGAAACAAACAAAAAUAUUUCCAACCGAAAGAAAAAAAAAAAAAAAAAAUCCAAGAUAACAGCGCAAAAGCAAAAGGAUACAUGUUUAUUGGAACCUCCUUAUAAUUCUAGUAACAAGCAACUACAUGAAGAAAAAAUAAAGGCAACAUAACAACACUUAUGAUGCGAUUCUUAUAGUCGAACUACUCAUACAAGAAGUUAUUUAUAAUGCCUGGGUGAUGUAUCUUUCGAAAUUGGAAAUAGAUAGUGGAGAGUAUAUUUACAGGCUACAUCUGGUUUUUUGUAACUAUAACAGUAAAUGCCGAACGAAAACUCUAACAGAGCCACAGAUUUCUCUUGCAAUUUUAGUCUUGGAAUGACUAAAAUUUUUUGACCGCAGGGGACUCGUACAAGAAAGAUAAAUGAAACAACUGUUUUGAAUUAUUUAACCUGCAUUCAGAAUGAAGGUCUUCAUGAAAUCACACCAAAUAUGCACAUCAUGCCAGCCAUGUUCGUCCCGUGCAGAUUUAAAGGCGUCUCUUCUGCUGUUCUCCAUCACACCAAACUGAUUUCUUCUCUUCCCUCAGCAUUCUUCUGUGGCUUCUUUCCCUCCAUCCGCCCCUCAGAAGUACUUCAAUGAUAAGGCACGGCUACGCCAGAAUAACGGCUUUGACUAAAAUUCACUGAUUAGUCUGUUAAUGGUCAAUACAUUCUCGACAGGCCGAACUGAACGGCACCAACCUUCCUAUGAGCGCCGGCGGCAGCAGCUGCAGCAGCUGCCGCGAUGCCAUUGUAGGGGGAUUUCGUAUAAGCAAGGCUAUGCGUCUCCGGAUCAGCCUUCGGCCCCCCCGAAAAGUAGAAAGGGGGAGCUCUCAUGUCUAAGGUUAUGUCCGCUGUUGUCCGGCUAUUAUUCAUGCAUGGUUGAGAUACUUUAUUGAUUAUGUAAUAAUCCCUCUCGGUCUCCAAGGGGUCUCUCCCAGCGCAUUCCGGCUUGCCCGUGCUCCGAUCGUAGCAGUAUGCCGGAGGCAUGUUUGGCUGGGUAGGAAUAACUGGGUUAUUCCUUAUUAAUCUCCUUGGAUCAUAGGUGUCUUUCACAGUUCCAUUUUCGUAUGGCAUUACUGAUCCAACAACUUUUCCUGGUCUCGCUGGAGAAGGGGGGGAAAAAAGAGAAAAAUUGACACAACACUAAAUGUUUAAGAUUGAGACAAAUAGAAAGAGGGUUAAAUCAAAGAUUAAAUUAAAAAAAAAAGCCCAACUUCUUAUGUCAAGUUGACUGAGUUUAAUUUCGUACAAGAACCCAGUAACAUAUAUUCCAACAAAAAUAAGGUCCAUCGAGUUUGAUUUUUUAAGACAAAAAAAUAAAAAACUUAGAAACUAAAUAAGACUUUUUAGGCGUCAUUUCUGCUGGCACUUAAUUUGAAAAGUCUUCAAACAAACUAUCAAUUGAUGCUGCAAAAUUUUUUAAUAAAACAUCAAUGGAAAUGUCCACCGAAUAGUUACUGGGUCAUUCUUUUUGUCAGCGGCCAUGAUGCAAUCGGAAAGAAGCGAGUCUUUUCGCACCAAAUUAAACUUUGUAUCCCAGUCCGCAAUUAUGAGAUAGUCGGUGGGAUUCUGAGAUUUUAAACAAACAGAAAAAAAUGCCUGUACAUAAAACAUAAAAUGGAGUACCUGUUGGAAUCCUUUGGGGUGGCUGUGAAGGUCUCGCUAUAUUUCCCGGAAACCUUUCCAUAUCCCGGGGGUUUUUGGAUGCCUCAUCGGGCAUUUGCCUAUCUCGCAAGGAACCCACGAUUGGUUGCUCCUUUGGAGGAAUUGUAGUGGAGUGAACUAUAGUAGACCUGGCAUGAGAAAUAUAGAUGAUUAUUCAGAGACGCAACGGAAAUGAAAAUAAAGGAAAGUUUCUAACUUGAAUAAAACAUUAUAUCCUGCUUUCCAGAAAUAGACUGCUGAAUUCAACAGUGAUGGAUGCUGAAUUCAACAGUGAUGGAAUAAUAAUAUAGAAUAUUAAGCAAACUAUUUAGACUAAGCAGUGCUUAGCCGAAUUUCAAACAUAACAAGAGGACAAACUCUGAUAUGCUUUCACAGCAAAGCACUGUGCUUUUUCUACACAAUAUGUUGUUGUGCAGAUAUUAAUAUAUGCCGUUCUUUUUUUUUGGAUAUUUAGCGAAAAUACACUUGUCAGGACUAGGCCACCUUCAAUUUUGUUUGUUAAGAAAAUAAGCAAGACAACAAGGCAAUAUGGAUGGAUGAUUAAGGCUCUUGACAUCACAUAACUAAGGGUGGGCAAGGUUUGGUUCUGUUCAGGUGACAAGAUAAAUUGAAACCGAACCAAUCUAAUUCGGUUUUAAAAAAUCAAAACCAAAAUGAAACCACUGGUGUGGAAAACCAAACGGAGCUAAACCAAAAAUUUCAGUUUGGUUUACAGGUUUGGUUUAUAGCUUUGAACACUUGAAUUUUUUAAGACAAUUUAUACAUCUUUUAGUUAUUUUUUAAUGUUUGCAAGAAUGAUUUUCGGGAUUAACUUGGUGUAUUAAGUGGUAGCUUGGCGUUAAAUAUUGAUAGAUACAUAUGUAUAAUUAUAUAUAUAUACUCAUACAUGCAUGCUAAUAUAUAUACAAAUAUUUAUAGAUACACAAUUGUACACCUCAGUUUUUUUUGGUUUGGGUUGGUUUUUGAAUUUCUCAAUCCACAAUCAGACCAGAAUUUUAGGUUUGGGAACUUCUAAAACCAAAACCAAACCAUUUACAACUAAAACCGAACCGAACCGAACCGAACCGAACCAAAAUUGUCAGUUUGUUUUGGGAAUUUUCAUUUCGUGCCACCUGUAUACAUGACAGAUGAUCCAUUCAUUAAUGCAUAUUUAUGCAUGCAUUCACUUCAAAGGUGCAUUUUUAUAUCAUUCAUUUUAAGAAAUAAAAAUUUUAAUCAGCAAAAUAAUAUCAUAGUCUAGAUUUAAACCUAGCAAAUGAAAACUGCAUAAGCAAGAUGUGUACUGGGAGAUUGAAAUUUGUAGGGUCAUAUACCAGAAAAGAUAGGAAGAGAAACAUGCUUCCCAUCUAAUGGAAGUUAGAUGGGAAGUUCAAAAUUUCAACUGGGCAAUGACAUAUUUUCUACUAAUAUAAAAUUAAGCAGGAUGAACUUUUAAGUAAAAUAAAAAACCAAAUACAUCACCUAGGAAGAGAAACAUGCUUCCUAUCUAAUGGAACUACAGCACCAUUUUUACCACCAUUCUCCUCGAGGUGAGCAAAUUGCUUCCUAAAUUGAUCAACAGCACUGCACAAUGACGAGUAAAAAUAUAUAUUACAUAUGAAUACUAAUGAAAAACAUGGAGGCAAAAUAGGAAAUAGAAUGAAACGUGAUAGUAACAACUCAAUACCUUGGAUAUAGGAAGUUUGUCCUCUCCGUGCCAUUAAUGUAGUCCUUUAGUAACUGUGGAUGGUAUUCCAAUAUCUCACGGAAUAUAAGUUCCUUAAUGUCCUCUUUUGUCACUCUUCUCCGCUCAAACUCAAACUCCAUUUUCGCAAUCUGCUGACAUGAUGGUUCUCUCUCAACUUUGGCCAAGCCUUUGAAAUAUGGGUCGGCCAAUGCCUGAUAAAUGAGCAUAACAUCCAUUUGAGUGGUAGCAUGGAAAAGGAUAAAUAAAUGAAAUUACUAAGAUAUUCAAAUUAAUGAUAUAGGUUUAACACAAUAGCAAUGCGUAAAAAAUAAACAUAAAAGAGGGAAACACAUCUCCAAACAACAAAUGCGUACCUCUUCAGCAGUUGGUCUGUCCUUCGGAUCAAAUGCUAAAAGCCUUUCCAACAGUUUAAGAGCUAAAGGAUCUGCAUUGGGGAACUUCUGUGAAAAUGGUAUAGGCUGUUUCUUCCUCAUGCUGCUCAAGUACCUCCGUGCCUUCUCAUUUCGGACCUGUAGUCAAUAAAGAAAGUUAUGCGAUGCUAUCAUAUUACAUUUUUCCUAGCUGGAGAGAAGAUACAUUUUCAUAAUGAAUGUUUUCAGAUUAGAUUACCGUACCCGAGAAAUUGUAUCCAAUGACGGAGUGCCUAGAAGAUCGGUCAUCAAAUCCAACUGGUGGACCACAUUUUUACCAGGAAAUAAAGGUUUACCAGUUAACACCUCGGCAAAUAUGCAACCAAUGCUCCAAAUAUCAAUAGCCGGCGUAUACUGCAAUUUUUCAGAAAUAUAUCUUUAAUAUUGUAAAUAGAGAAAACUCGUACUUGAGAAGACAACAAAUCUAACAAAAGUACAUGAAAGAAUUGAUACUUCAACCAGUUGACCAAACUGCUUUCUGAGUAAGCAUUUUCUUAAAUUACUUUUUCCUUUUUUUCAAGUCCUUGAGUGUUAAUGAAGGGACAUACAAAGCAAAUACAACUAUUCACUACCAAAUGUAAAGCUCAUAAGACAGCUAAUCAUGACAUUCAUAGUUGAUGUUUCACAGAUCUAAAAUGUAAGGCAACAUCACAAAACGACUUAUUGGUGCCACAAUAACUACCGGCCAGAUAGCUACAAGAAGAAAAUAAAGACCUGAAAAUGGCACCUAAGUCUAGCAAAUUGCACAUGCCUAAAUUUUCAGCUUUAAACAAAAGCAAGGCAGGUUUUUUGAUCCAUACAAAUUCAAAGUAGUCCUUAUGAAUUCUGUUUUAAUUUGCAUAUGUUAUCACUAAUAGUGGGUUAUAACUUAGAUUAAAAGGCAAAAAAGAACCCUGACAUUUACACGAUUAUCAUUUUUCGCCAUUGAAAAAUCUAAAUUUAACUCCCUCAAUAUGUAAUUAUUUUGUCAGUUAGUCCUCUUCCGUCACUAUUCUGUGCGCAUCAGUGUGUUCACGGCAUUAUAAAUGAUGCACGCUAAAAAGAUGAAUGUUAUGUGCUCUGAUCAUGUAUAAAAGCAUGAUAUUAAUAGUUAGUCAAACAACGAUAACAUCUGAAAGCACAGAGAAACAAGAAAGUGUAUUAUUAGGUAACCAAAAUGUACCUUUGAAAAGAAAGAUCCACACAACUCAGGAGCUCUAUACCAUCUGGUUGCAACAUAAUCCUACAAUACAUAGUAAAGCUUCAAAAUGUGAAAUUGACUAAUAAAGCACCUUUUCUUUUUAAUUGUACAGAAUGAUGUUAAAAAGAUGUGAAUAAGGUUGGCAUUGAACAAUAAGCUCAUUCUCUUGACAUACCGUCCAAAAAAUAGUCGUUGGGGUGUCGUUGAAUGCAACUCUUGCCAGUCCAAAAUCACAGAUCUUGAGUUUGCAAUUCGCAUUCGCUAAUAUGUUCUUUGGUUUCAAAUCGCGGUGAUAAACAUUAGCUGUGCUCAAAUCGAGUCAAUAUCAGCACAAAUCUCAAUGUAGAACAUAGUACAGUUAAUGUAAGUCAAUGCAUACAUACAACAGGAUGAAAAUGCGAGUCAAACUUGAGUAUUAUGAAAUUUGAAUACUAUGUGAUAACAAACUAAUAUACAAUAUUCAAAUUUGUCAAGUUUUUAGGAACUUGUGAGAUACUUAUGGGGCAAAUUAUAAUAUUCAAGUUUUCAUUAGUAAAGAUUAAACACAUGGUAAGAGAGUGCAAUAACCUGUACGUCAAAGUCUUUAGGACAAAUUGACACAUACUUAAAGAUCGAAGCAGUAAAAAAAAGAGGAAUGUUUAAACAUUUAACAUAUAAGAACAAAUUGAACAAACUAUAGCAAAGUUUUAACUGUAAAAUCUCUCAGCAAAAUUCACAUGCAGGAGUCAGUACUUAUCAAGAAUAUAGGUACAAGGAAAGUGCAAAUAAACACCAAAAGAGUAUGACUGGAAGACUACAGGAAAGAGAUGACAACUUAAACAUAAACAAGGGAGCGAAAAAGGAGGCAAAUGUGGAGAACUAACUAUUUACAAACUCAAAAAGUGACCAAGAGGCAAACAUACCUCCAUUUUUUUUUUUCCAAGGGGAAGGAGUCAAGUUCAUAAAUGUUCUAUCACCCUUGAAAGAAAAAAAGUCCUGUGACUACAAUGCCACACAAACUCUAACAUAUGCCACAUCAGACACAACUGCUAAACUCCUAAGAAAAACAUAAGAAAAUCUUUUUCCUUUCUAAAAGGGAAAGGGAGAUUGGGUCUAGACAUAAGAAAAGCACAAGGUUUGGAAUACUGAUAAACUCGAAAGAGGUAAGAGAUAGAGGGGGGAACAAUAACAUGCCAAUAUUUCCAGACAUUAUUAUUAUUAUUGACUGAUAGAGGCGAAAAACAAUAAUAUGCCAACAAUUCCAGACAUUAUUACUAUUAUUGGUGAAUAAUAAUAGCAUCGGAAUAAUAGAAUACAAGAUCUAAGAACUACAUUGAACAUGAUUAAUAGCAGAUACGGCAGAAAAUAGGACGAAGACUCAUACCUGUGUGAAUGUACUUCAAUGCUCGGAGCAGCUGGUAAAGGAAGAAUUGAUAGUGCUCCUUCGUUAAGUCAUCAUUAGCCUUGAUAACUUGGUGAAGAUCAGACUCCAUGAGCUCGAAAACAACAUAAAUAUCUUUGAAGUCCCUCCUUGAUGGAGGCAACAUAAUGUGUUUGAUUUCAACUAUGUCAGGAUGUCUUAGAAGCCUGAGAAGCUUGAUUUCACGAAGGAUCCGCGCAGCAUCAGAGAUGUGUUCAAAGAUAUCAUGUAUUUUCUUUAUUGCCACUUUUUCUCCCGUAUGUGUAUCAAUCGCCGAACACACAACUCCGUAGCUUCCCUUACCGAUGACUUCUUGAAUUUUGUAUCUAUUGGCAUCACCAUACUCAGAGAAAAAAUCCAUCUCCGGUGAAUUCUGAAAAGGGAAAAAAAAAUGACUGAUCAAUUGCAGUAAAAUUACGAAAAUCAGUAUUGAAAGGAAUUGCUCGACUAUCAGCUCAAGCUAAAUAGGACUUCAUUUGAUGAAUGAAAUCUAGAAAUAAAAAAUAAAUAAAUAAAUAAAAGAACAAGAAUUGAUGGUGACAAAUUAAAUUAUAACUACAAACCGCCAAUGCGUUUAGUGAUUAACAACGUUUUAAUCUAAUGCUUUAUCAUAGUCAAUCAACGGUGUAUGAGGGAGAAGAAAAAGUGCUAGGAACUUUUAUGGCUGCAAAGGCAGUUACUAAGCACAUAACAUAACAAGAUUGUGUUAUUACCAAUGAUAGGCCUCAGAUAAAGGAAAGAAACUGAUUUCCAUGCUGAGUUUUAUCAUUACAAUAUACUAAUUGGGAUUCUCUAAGUGAGACAUAAAGUCAGAAAGAUCUUAAAUGAACAUUGCAACACUUAAAAAUGUCACACAAAUCAAGCCAAGUAACAGAAUAAAUGUCAAAAUCAUCUUUUCUAUAGAUCCCAUUGAACUUAAUAUACACCGAGAUACCAGAUACUAUUAGGAGCAAAUAUAUAACUGCUACAACUCUGUUCGGCAGGUGAUGAAAGAACGAGUUGCAGCUCAAGCUUCAGUAAUCAACUUCACCAACAAAUGCAGAAAAUUACUUUUUUUUUUCCUAAUGAAUCACAGAAUUGUAUCAAGUAGAAGUCUCAUACACAACAGAAGCACGCAAAGACAUUCAUGUAUUCUAAAGCAAUUCCUUAUAGGCUGGUAGAUAAUUUUGUUUCCACAAUACGCAACGUGCAGAGUCUCAGAUCUGAGUCCACAAAAAUACCACCAACAUAUGCAAAUAAAAGAAAAUCCAUAGAAAUACAACUCCAAUCAGCUCCAUAAAUAUAGAAGCAUAGGAGUAGAGCAAGAAGUAAUACAAAUAAAUAAGAAUUACAAAAUUAUUUUGUUUUAUUCUAAAAAGGCAAUGCUAAAACCCACCAAUAUGAAUUGUUUACUUGUUCUGGUCCAUAAGGGAAUAAUAGAUGGACACUAUCAAUAUGAUGCAACCAUGCAAGUGGGUAAGAGAACCAGAUUCAUAGAAAACAACCACACAAUAGACAUGGAAUCUCUCGAGAUAAUUUAGAGGCAAAAUUAUAUCUUUACCUCCUACAACAGAGAUAGUGGUGGAGAAAGGGGGAACAAAAGUAUUCAGUACAAAAGAAUCUGACUAGUGAGCGAGUACAUCGACAAAUAAAGAAAUUGUAGAAAUUUAACAUGAUUGACGCAAUCAGAAAGGGACUUGGCUGUGUUCUAAAAGAAGAAAGGGAAAUAAAUUUUGAGGAUAACGAUAAGAAGAAGAGGAAGAGAACCAAAAAAGGCAAUUUUUUGACAAAAUUAGUAGCUGCAAAAAUCUUUAUGAAAGGGUAAGAAGUGUGUCAUCUAAGAAUUUGAAGGAUGAGACCAUAGAGAUUACUAAAAAAAUGACCGAUUUUUUAUCCGUAAUGAGAUCUGGAUUAGAGAGGAAACAGAUGAAAGACCCCAAAAACCACGCGGAGAGCGAAACUAAAACGAAAUCAAUACCCCAAACUCAGAUCAAGAAACCCUCCCCUACCUUCUUCCGCUGAUCUUGCUGCAUCCUUGCACAGAUCUCCAACCCCGACGAAUCAAAUCGCAGCUUUCGCGACCCUCCCCCUCCGCUCCUUCCCCUUCUCCGACCUCUCUCAACUCGAAUUCACCUCCUAAUCCCCAAAUAUCUACCCCCAAAUCAUCCGCAUUUGCCCCCGAUCAAUCCCUCUCCUCGAUCCCCAUCUCGAAACACCUCCCCGCGCCUCAAUCGCUCUCGCAGCGCACGCCGAGCGCCCUCUCCCGCCUCCGCCUCGACUCCCCAAUCGCCGCCGCAACAAGGUCACGAAUUCGACUCACUACCACCGUAGAGAUCAAUAAAUCGAUCGAUCGACCGAGAUCUCCAAGAUCCAGAGGAAGACGAAGCCGGAGAAGAGAAGGGCGACGACGGAGGAGGAGGAGGACGAGGAUCCAGAACCCUAACCCUAGAGGACCCUCUCCGUCCCCGCGAUCUCGUCUCGACUCGCCCCUUUAUAGCAAGGAUGAGAGAGAGAAGAGAGAGAGAGAGAGAGAGAGAAGGGAAAAGGGGGAGGGGUUGUUAUAGUUCUUCUUCUUCGGCCCAGGGCAUGAUGGAUCUAUUGUGUUUUAUCUUUUACCGUAUGGACGAUUCUGCCCCUCACCUUCCCCCGCGUAUCGUAUUUUGCGGCAGUGGCAGUAUGCGGUAAUUUUAGCCAACUUCGAGCCCUUUUCUGUAACGCGCAGCCGUUGGCGUGUGGUAAGUUUGCACGGAGACGCCUCACGAUUAGACCAUUUGUAACUAGGCGCAAAUGCAAUUAAUUUUCGAGCAAUGCUAGGAUUAUUACAACACUCUUAAUUUUUGGCUAAAUUGCACUUUACUCCCCCUACAUGUAUCCCGUUGACAAACCCUCCCCAAAAAAUAUAUAAUUUAUAUUCUAAAUAAUGUAAUAUUUAUAAAAAAAAUAUAUACAUAAUUUAUUUAAACUUUAGAUCAUUUUAAAUCAACUAUCUAAACUUUUCAAACUUUGAUUUUACUACACAAUUAUUAAUUUGUUUGAUUUCAGUCAGUCAAGAAUAUUUUUGAUUUAAAAAUUUGAAUAUAUUAUUUAUUUUUAUAGAUUUGAUUAAUAUAUUUCAUAUAAUUCUCAGACUAUGAAUUUAUUAAAAUAAAUAAUAACUUAAAACUUAAAGUAAAAUUACUGUUGUCUAAGUUAAAUCAAAUAAUUUGAUAGUUUGAAUAUUAAAAUUAAAAUUUUAAAACAUUAAAUAAGAGAUUCAAAAUAAUUCAUAGUUAAAAAAAAUUAUGUAUAUUUGUACCUAAUUAUAACUAGGCCAAUUUGCAUUUUUUUUUUUUUUUGCAGAUUUGGUCCGAUUUUUCAGCAAACUAACCAAAAUACACUUAUACAUUUUUCUCUCUCCUCUUUUUUUUUUCUCUCGUUCUUUUUUUCUUUCUCUUCCCAGAGAGCGGUGGAGACGAAGGCGGAAGUGAAGGCGGAGGCGGAGGCGACCCGCUUCGGUUUUAUCCGGCACAUCCUUACCCUCGCCCGCGCACCCCCCGCCUUCCUCGCCUCUGACCCUGCCGAGGCCGCGUUGCAACUUUUUUUUUUCCCUCUCCAACCCUCCUCCACCGCUUCCGACGACGACGCCUAUCUCACCCUCUCUCGCCCUUUCCCUCUCCCUCCUCCUUCACCUCCUCCGCCGCUUCCGACGACGACGCCUCUCCGCCGACAUCUGCGCCGCGGAGGUCGCUGCGGCGCCGCAACCUCGGAGCGGGUGGUCUUUAGCGACGUCGUCGCCGGCACCGUGGCCAUUGGCGGAGAGGCAUGACAAAAAAAAAUUAUAGAAAAGGAAGAAGAAAAAAACUAGAUAAAAAAUUAUAUAAGAAGGAAGAAGAUAAUGAAAUUGCACUGUUAAAAUAAGAUUACACUAUUUUAAUACAAAUUUGCACUGUUUUAAUAAAAAUUGCACUAUUUAAUAUAGAAAUUACAUUCUUUUAUAAUGGAUUUUACACUUUUAAGACUAACGUUACACUAUUUAGAAAAUUUUUGCACCUUUUUUUUUCUUUUUCUUUCUCUCUCUUCUUCUUCUUCUUCCGCUGCUGCUAGGAACCUAGCCCGCGAAGGCACGGUGGAGGCUGCCGCCGAGCUCGAGGAGGUCCCUUCUCGUUGUCAGGAGCCUCCUCGAGCUCAGCGAUAGCCCCCACCGUGCCUUCGCAGGCCGGGCGGGAGGCAGCAGCGGACGAAGAAAAAGAAGAAGAAAAGAGAAAAAGAAAAGGAAAAGAAAUAGUGCAGAAUUUCCUAAAUAAUGCAAUGUUAGUCUUAAGAGUGUAAAAUCCAUUCCAUAAGAGUGUAAUUUUUAUAUCAAAUGAUGUAAUUUUUAUUAAAACAGUGCAAGUUUGUUUUAAAACAGUGUAAUCUUAUUUUAACAGUACAAUUUUAUCAUCUUCUUUCUUCUUAUAUAAUUUUUUGUCUUUAUUUUUUUCUUCUUCCUCUUCUAUAAUGUUUUUUGUCACGCCUCUUUGCCAAUAACCAUGGUGUCGACGACGACGCUGCUAAAUAUUCCCUGCUCCGAGGUUGCGGCACCGAGUGACCUCCGUGGCGCCAAUGUCGGCGGAGAGGCGUCGUCGUCUGAGGCGGUAGAGGAGACGAAGGAGGAGGGAGAAGGAAAGGGCGAGAAGGGCGAGAGAGGGUGAGAUAGGCGUCGUCAUCGGAGGCGGUGAAGGAGGUCGGAGAGGGAAAAAAAAAAAAGUCGCAGCGCGGCCUCGCCGGGGUCGGAGGUGAGGAAGGCAGAGGUGCGCGGGCGAGGGUAAAGAUACGCCGGACAAAACCGAAGUGGGCCACCUUCGCCUCUGCCUCUGCCUCUGCCUCCGCCGCUCUCUAGGAAGAGAAAAAAAAAAAGAACGAGAAAAAAAAAAAAAAGAGGAGAGAGAAAAAAGUAUAAAGGUAUUUUGGUCAGUUUACUAAAAAAUCGGACUGAAUCUGUAAAAACGAAAAAUAUUGCCCACUUUUGCAAAAGCCCAAAAUUAGUAAAUUUUUUAUGCAAAUUGGCCUUAUAACUAUGAGGGCAAAUAUCAAUAAAACUUGUAUUUUACAUCUUGUCGAUUAUUUGUCAAACCUUUAAUUUCUACUACCAAUACUUCUAAAUGUAAUUUAUAAUUUUACAAUAUCAAAAAUUGAGAAAAGAAAAACUAAAAAAUUCAACUUUGCCACGUGGCACAAUGAUCGAGUAAUUAUUAAGUAACACAUAAUAAUUUAUUGUUAGAAUUUAAAUGAAUUUCUAAAUUGUUAUGAAAAGAGAUAAAAAUAAGAAAAAGAUUUGGAGCAUCAAAACAGUAAAUCUACAAGGUUAUUGGACAUUUAUAUUUUUUAUUCAUUUUAAUUUAAGUUACUCAAAUUAUUUGAAUUUGGAAUUUUUCUUAAAAAUAAUAAUUUUAUCAAUUAGAAGCGAUUAAUUUCUAACUAAAUUUGUUUUUCAUCCACAAAAUUAUCGAUUAAUUUAAAUUUUUCUAAUUAGAUAGGAAGUUACAAAUAAGAAAACUUCAGGGCCAUAUUAAAAAUACCCAAUAGCUGAGGGGCCUCAUCAUAAACUUUCACCUUUGGCACGUAGCCGUUCAUUUUUGUGGAACCUUCCAUUACCGUUGCGAUAGAAAAUAUGAAUUUUUUUUUUUUUAAAUCGUUGUUAGGGUUGGUGGAAUGGUUUGUAGCUAUUUAGCUAAUGGAAUUGAUAUUUCAACUAAUAAUUGAAUUUUUAAACUAAUUAUUUUUUAAAUUAAUUUUUGAAUAGUAGGUGGCCGUUUGGUUAUCAAUUUGAUUUCAUGUGUGAUGUAAUGUGUUGUUAUACUAUAUUUUAAUUUAUUUGAAUAUUUGAAAAAUAAUAUUUCUAUUUUAGAAAUUUGAAUUCUAUAGAGAAGUAAUGGGACCAAUUAAGAAUAUGGACAAAUGACAUUUUAUGAGCAUUUUAUUAAAAACUAAAUUAUAUUUCUUUGGUGACUAACUAAUUAUGUAUAUCAUUUUUUUGGUAGCUUAAAUGUCAAAAAAAAAAGGGUAAACUUCAAAAACCCCCCUAUGGUUUCGUAGUUUCUCACUUUGCCCCCCUGUGGUUUAAAGCGUAUCAAUUUGCCCUCCUGUGGUUUCGUUUUUAUCUUUUCGGUAGUUUUUUCGUUAAUAUUUCAUUAAAUUAUAUACAAAAAACUUCAGAUACCCAUUUAGAUUUAUCAAAUAUUCACUUUAGUACCCUUUAAUUUUAACUUUAUCAUUGAUUUAAGAAAAAAAAUAAUGAAAUUGAUAAGAAAAAGAGAAAAAAGAAACCACAGAGGGACAAAUUGAUAUAUUUUAAACCACAGGGGGGCAAAGUGAGAAACUACGAAACCACUGGGAGGGUUUUUGAAAUUUUUCCAAAAAAAAUUAGUGCUUUUGAAGUUUUCCCAAAAAAAAAUUAGUGCUGAGAUCAAAAAAAAAUUUCUCUCAUUUAAUUCAUGUUCAUGUUAAUUAUUUCUCAAAUAGGCCUUUUGGAUAACAUAAUAUUAAAGUCAAUUAUAAUCAUGCUUAGUUCUCGAAGGUAUUGAGUUCAAAUAUUCCUUAUACACUCACCAAUUAUAAUAUUAGAUUCCUACAGUUUACUUCUCUAAUUAUCUGCUCUGUUAGUGCGCUUGCAUAGUAUAUCUGAUAUUUUAGAAGCUCGCGAAUGAAAAUGUUUAGAAUAUUUUAGACCGUUCACUGUUAGAUUGUUUUUUUUUUAAUAAGAUUCCAAACUUGAAAUUUGACACAAAUAGUAUUUUGAACAUCUUAACUUUUCUUUGAAAGUGAGAGAUCAACUUCUUCUUAUACACCAUUCAAUAGUUUUUUCUUUUGAGAAAAUAUACGCCAUUGAAUAUCAUAACAAAAAAUAAAAGGGUUGGCUUUUCAAUAAUGUAGUGAAAGGGAAAUGGUAACUCCAAACCCAAAAUGCUCUACAUUUUCAUAAAUAUACCAACUCCAAACUGUAAUUUAAAAAGAAAAAAAACCUUAUAUAUGUCUCAACUAUGCUUUUCACAAGUUGUGAAAAGGAUCAAUCUUGGCACCUGAAUAAUGUUUGCCCAUAAAUUGAAAAGCACUAUAAUUCUAGCUACUUUAGGGGUAGGGGAGAAAAAAAAAAAACUUUUUUUUUUCUACCAAUAAUGUUAUUUGGAAGGAAAUUAAAGCCAAUCAUAGCUGCCAUAUCAUAUAAAAAUAUUUCAAUUAACUAUCAUAAAAAAACAAAAAUAACAAUGUAACAACAUAUAUAUAUAUAUAGAGUAGGGCUACGUACGUAGAUACCUUCAUAAUUUCUCCAAGAUUAUUAAUAACUAUAGAGCAGGACUACUGUGCUCUCAGGAGCACAAAGGCCUCCGUGCUCCUGAGCCAUUUUCGAUGAUGGAGUUUUCGAAUCGACGAUCGGCUCCAUUAGACUUGAUCUAGCGCAUUUGAAGUUUCUAGAAAAUAAUUUUUGUGAUUUUUUUAUUUCAUUUAUCUAAUGAUCGAAAGGAUUCAAAAUUCAUAAUUUUUAAUGGUUGAUAUCUGCCGUUUUCAAGUUUAACGGUGUAAAAGUAUUCAAAUUAGAUGAAAUUUUGAUACAAAUUUUUUUAUAUUAUCUACAACAAAAUCAAUAUUUCUGAUCGAAAAUUUUAGUGCUAUAUCACCACUUUUUAUAGAAUUUUUAUUUUCAGCCGUUAAAAAUUAUUGAUUUUCAAUCCUUUUGAUUGCUAGGUAAAUGAUAUCGAAAAAUUAUAAAAAUUAUUUUCUAGAAACUUCAAAUACGUUAGAUCAAGUUUAACGAAGCCGAUCGUCGAUUCGGAAACUCCAUCAUUGGAAACGGCUCAGGAGCACGAAGGUCUCCGUACUCCUGAGAGCACAGCAACCCUGCUAUAUAUAUAUAUAUAUAUAUAAAUAUAAUAUUAUAUAUAUAGGAAUAAUUUCAUAGAUGCCCUUCUAGAAACUAUUUUUCAUCAACCCUUCUAAAAUUGAUAAUAUCACCAAUACCCUCCAAAUGUAAAAAUUAUCAUAAAUGCCCUCUAUUAGUUUAGAUCCCGUUAGGUCUCCAUUGAAACGGAGUUAAUUUUUCAAAAUAACCAUUUUUACCCUUUAUCUCUUAUUAAUACUUAAUAAUAAAAAUACUAAUAGUAUUUUAAGAUAAUUUUGUAAAUCUAAAUUUGAGUAUUUAAUAUAUACAUAUUAAAUUAAAUCAUUAAUAUAUUAAUUAUUAAAAAAAUAUAUAAAAUAUAUUUUAUAUAUAGUAUUUUUAUAUCUAAUUUUGGUUUUGUUUUUAGUUUCGGAUUUCGGUUCAAGUUCAGUUUAAAUAUAGACCAAAUGCAUAACUGAAUUUACAUACGAAUGGAUUUUAUUUUUGAUAUCUAUAACUGAAACUAUUCCUAUUCAGCAUGUAAUAAGCUACCUCAUUUAAAAUCGAGUUAGAUAAAAUUGCGUAUCUUAUAUCAAUUUAUAUUCCUAUUAGUAAUAGUAAUUUUGAAAUAAAUUAUAGAUUUUAUUUUUUUCCUAUUUAAGCAAAAGUAAAUCACAUAACUAUAUGCAUGAAUUAUUCUGUCGAUUGAAACAAAAAUAGAGUUUUUGUUCGAAAGCUAAAAUAUAUUAUGUUUCAGUUUUUUAAUGCAUUUAAUGCAGAUAAAAUUAUCGAGAAUAAUUUUGAUUAAAAAAAAUUUUAACUUUCAAAUUAAAGAAAGAUCAGAUAAUUUUUAACAUUAUUUUUUCAUUUAAAUUUUUAUAUAUAAUUAAUUUAUUCGAUAAAAUAUAAAUAGAGACUAGAUUGUGGUAAGAUUAAUCAAAAAAAAAACUAAAAAAUUCUCAUUUUUUUCAUACACUAAAAUGAUAUCAACUAAAAAAAUAAAGUGAGGGAGCAGUUUCAAAAUGGCAUAAUUGAGGGGAUCUCCAUACAUUUUUUCUAAAAGAACCUUGAGGGUAAAUGAGUCAUUUUAAAAGUUAACCCCAUCUUAACCCUUUAAUAACUAUGGUAAAACUAACUUAACUAACAGUAAGGGUAUUGAUGAUAAUUUUCUGUAUUUACAGGGUAUAGGUGAUAUUUUAAAUUUAGAGGGGCAUCUAUGAUAUUUUAGACUUUGAGAGGGGUACCAUGAAAAUUGCCCAUAUAUUAUAUAUAUAUAUUAUAAUAAUAAAUAUAUAUAUAUAUAUAUAUAUAUAUAUAUAUUAUUGAGCUAGAAUACUUUUAGAAGCACCACCUCCUUGGUGCUUCUAAGUUUUUAGUUAUUGGAUCAACUCCUUGAUUAUUAAUAACCUUUGAAUCAAAUACUAUUCCACCCAUCAUCACAUGCCACAAUCAUCCCAACCUUACAUUUCUUCAUCCAAAGACUAAAAAUUCAAAAGCGCUACCUCUUUGGUGCUAUUGAAAGUAUUCUAACUCAACUAUAUAUAUAUAUAUAUAUAUAUAGAAUUAGACUACUAUACUAUCUAUAGUACCGAGCUCCGGUACUAUAGUGUUUGUUUUCGAUCUUAGGGUGUUCAAAUCAAUGAUCCACACCGUUAAAUAUGAUCUAAGGUAUAUGAAUUUCUUAGGAAUAAAAUUUUAGUUUUGUUCGAUAUCGUUUACUUAGUAAAUAAAUUAUAUCAAAAUAGACGGUGGAAAUUGAAUAAUCUUUAAAAUUUGAGUAUAGGACUUUUAAAUUCAAGAUCAAGAAUGUUAACCUUAAUCUAUAUAGUUUAAAGUAUUUUCUAUCAAAAUUUGAAGAAAUUUAGAUUCUUCUACACCGUUAAACUCCAAACUCGUUAUAAUAACUAUUGAAAAUUGACAAUUUUGAAAUAGUUUGAUCAUAAAGUAAACUAUGUCGAAAAAAUAUAAAAUUUUAUUUCUAGAAACUUUAAAUACCCUAGAUCAGUUUUAACGGUAUGAAUCGUUGAUUUGAACGCCCUAAGAUCGAAAACAAACACUAUAGUACUGGAGCUCGGUACUAUAAAUAGUAUAGUAGCCUAGCUCUAUAUAUAUAUAUAUAUAUAUAUAUAUAUAGCUUAAUAGUUUCCCCAAGAUUAUUAAUAACUAAUAAUACAUGAUAUUAUGUAGAUUAUUGCUAUGGUUACCUCAAAUAUAGGGGAUGUUUCUUUACUUGAUUAACAGUUCAGUGUGACGGUCACGCUUAGGCGAAGGACACAGUAAUAGAAUAAAAAGCUCUAACUCGGCUUUUUAUCAAACCUGAAAUGAAAAACUAGUAAAAAACUGAACAAAUGAUAUAAGCGAUUUAUGGCUAAGAUUGCACCUUCGAUUUAUAUAUUACUAUUGUAUACUUCACGUGAGCUAAACGUCAAACUUUUGAUCUGAGCCUCGUUCAUCAUUCACUGUUGUAUAAUCAAGCUGACAUAUUAGUUGCACCUUAACAUAUCCAUCAAAUAAAGUUAAAGUUUUUUUUUCUUUUUUUUUCAAGAAGAGGACUUUGCAUCCGUCCAAAAGCACUUUAAUAGUAGUGGUGAAGGAAAAUAGCACUCCAACACUUAGAGACCGUUUGGUUGCAUAUAAUUACAAUUGUAUGCAUUGCAGUUGUAACUGUAUGCGAAUACAAAUUCGGUGUAUGAUUUGAUAUAUUUAACUCCAACUGCUGCAAUAACAACUGCAGCAGUUCGAACUACGCCGAAAUUAGCCGCUGUUCCAACUAUAGUAGUUGGAAAGAGUAACUUUAAAUAAAAUGUAUGCUUAUCUGCUUAAUUAUUUUUUAAACAAAAGUUUUUUUUUUUUUACAUUGGAGGUAAUCUCACCACCAUAUAUGUAAAAUGAAAAAAUUUUAAAAAAAGUUUCUCAACUAUAUGCAACUAAACAAAUUAUUUCUCAACUGCACGUAAAUUAAAUCAUCACAUUUUUCUAAGCCUAAGAUUAGAAAAGUACACCAGUAUAUCGGUCCCUCUUUAGGGGAAAAAACUAACGAGAAAUUACUGUGCCAUAGCACAAAAUUCAACGCAUCAGAGGAGAAGGAGGAAGAGGAAAUAUACCCACUGAGAUACAGCAGGUGCUGAAUCAGUAUGAAGAUCUCUUUCAAGAACCCAAAGGACUACCACCUCUAACAAUAACUAUUUUUCUUGCUCUACUAAUUAAUUCUCUAAAGAUAAGGUCGGAGGUUAUUAGAGCAUAUGCCAUGAUAUAUACUAUGCAUAUGCUAUGCAUAUGGUAGUAUACGUGUGUGAUUCUCCCUUUCUUUAUUAGCUCAAAAUAAUAGCAUUUUUCUUUUUUUAUUCGCAAAGAAGAAUAAUCUCAACAACCACGCAACCUUAUUCCUGUUCAAUACCCUAGCCGAGUUAUAGGGUGUAGUAUUAUUUGAUAAAAUAUUAUACAAAUAAUGAUUUUAGGAGAAGCAGCAGAAUUAAAAAGCAUAAAUUGGAGACUCCAUUUUUUAUGUUUAAAGUUUUAUUUCUGUUUUCCGUUGGAGUGGAAAUGUUAAGUUUUUCUCUGCAUCAAAUAUUUUACGAAAAUUUGCUUUUAUUUAUAUCAAAAUUUAAGUAGAAGUGAAACCGAACAGACUUAUUAUUAGUCCUCUUCUAAAUCUGUGCCCUCCAACACGCCAAUGGUGAUAAAUAAGUAAAAACAGAAUAUUCUGUAUUUGCUGAUACAUGAUUUUUAUGCUCUUGUCAUCAUUUAUUAAAUUUAAAAAAACAUGUUGAAAUUAAUAAAGAAAUAAGUUACUAGUAAGGUUUUUUAUUUUACUUUUUUUCACGCCUUAUGAACUCGGUAUAUUUAGGACUACAAGUAACGGAAAGCCCACCCAUGUACACCAAUCUAUUAAAAAAAAUGAAAAAAAAAAAAAACGCAACAUCAAAUGAGGUCUAAAAUUAUAAGUAUCCACAUUAUCAGAUAAGUCUAUAUAUAUCUGCAUAUGUACGUAUGUAUAUUUACUUAUACGCCACUGAAGUGUUCUUGUGUACAGCACAAUUGUACAAUAAUUAGAUCAUAUUACAGUGGCAUACAAGUAAAUAUACAGAAUAGUAUAGAUUUAUAUUAUUAUUAUUAUUAUUAUUAUCUCAUGAGAUAUCGUUGACCGUGUUCUUCUUCUUCUUCUUUCCUUUAUUAAGAUUUUGUUUUAUUUUGACUUCAUGAUUACUGGGAAAGGACCAAAUUAAAAACAGUCAUAUUUAUUUACCAUAUAGUUAGGAACAGAUCAGCAACAAAUUAAUUAGUCCGUGUGUUUUGACCGUGACAGUUCGGUACUCAUAAAACACUUUUCAAGUAACAAACGGUGAGACUUCAGAUAGUCCAAUAUAUAAGAUAUAAUAGAGCUAAACUUUUAACCCGGCUUAAACAUUUUGGGUGAUGGUAAAACACAAGAGGUUAAGAAAGUUAAGCGUGUUAGGAUUGGAAUAGUUCUAGAAUGAAUGAUCCCCUGAAAACUUAGACUUCACAAUUUGUUAAUUCAUAUACUUUAUUUUUUCAUUUCGAUCUCUAAUGUUCAUUGUUCACUUUGACGAAAUGUUGUAGUCCAAAAGAUUCUAAUCAAUCUUAGUACUAACAUGUUUAAGUUUCUGAAAAAAUUUGAUAGCAUUUUUUUUUUUUGAGAGAUAGAUAGCAUGCUAUCCGUUUCACUUAUUUCAUUUAGAAAUAAACUUAGAUAGAAAUGUGAAUUAACUAGGAUUCGAACUUGGAUCUCGAAUACCAACCACCAAACCCUUUGCCACUUGCUCUAGGGACAGUCGAUAAUUUGAUAGCAUGUUGGCCUUGAUGCGGAAAGUGCGCAAUAAUUUAAAAGACAUUAUAGACGACGUUUGCAAGAACGGGGUAGUCAUAGUCAUGCAAGAUGAUAUGAAGGUUGAUGAAAUUGCUCGGAUCAAACUCGCAAGUUGUAUGAUUCGACGGAGACCCACUUCUUUGAGUAGUUCAGUUUAAUCUUUGAACUGGAAAAGUCAAAAAUCCAUUUUAAAUUAUUCAAACCUGUAGUUUAAUCAGUAAACCAAUAAAUUGGUCUGGUUCUGAACAAAUCGGUGAAAUUUUUUGAUCAAAUCGGAUCGAAGAUCUAACAGCUUAAAAUUAGAUCAUUUUUUCAAGAAUUUUAUAUUUAAUUGAUUUUGUUGACUUUAUAAUCUAUUACCAUAUAUCACUCUUGGGAAAAGUAAAACCUCAAAGCUCUUAUUUUCUUAAUUUUGUCCAAAAAUAUAAUACUAGAACAAUAAUAUAGAUUUUUUAUAUACAAUAAAAUAAAAAAUAAUAAUUAAAUAUUUAUGAUAUUAUUUAUACUAAUAUUAUUGGUACAAUCCCUAGCUGAAAAAAUAAUUUCUAACACAGUAAUAUUUUUCGGUCACUGAUCAAUCGUCACUAUCGCAAGUGGCAAAGAGAUUGAUGGUUGAUAUCUGAGAUCCCAAGUUUGAAUCCUAAUUGAUUCACAUUUUCAGCCAAGUUUACUUUUAAAUAAAAUAAACAAAAUGGAUAGUGUGUUAUCUAUCUCUCAGAAAAAAAUAUUUUUCGGUCACUGUCCGUUUUGGGUUUAAAAUAUUGAAAUGGAAAUGAAAAAAUAGGUAAAGAUUAGAACCAAUGAUUCGAUUAAUUUUAAAAUAUUGGGAUCAAUUGCAAAAAUAAAAAUAAAAAUUUGAAGACCGAAAUAAAAAAUAAAAUAAGGGUCGGGCGCCAACUGUGUAAUUAAAUCCUUUACCCUUUAUUUCUCGGUGGGAUUUUAUUUUAUUUUAUUUUAUUUUAUUACCGAGUACUGUUUUUUUUUUUAAUUUCUCGAUGGGAUUUUAUUUUAUUUCAUUUUUUUACCGAGUACUGUUUAUUUGGUUUUAUCUUUGUGGUUAAUGUUCGCAUGUAGAGGUGUUACUGUUGUCGGAUUCUUGUCGGAUCCAUGGAUUAUUUAUACGCAUUUAAAUCCAAUAAAUUAUCCCGUACAACUAUCCAGAUACAAAUUAAUGAAAAAAAAAAAAAAUUGGAGCAAAAUAAUGCUACGACCACCCCUAUUAAUGAAAAAUUAAGGGUGAAAUUGGACCCCAAAAAAAAAAAAAUUAUUUUGAGAAAUAGGUAGUAUGUUACCCGCUUCAUUUAUUUCAUUUAGAAAUAAACUUAGCUAAAAAUGUGAAUCAAUUAUGAUUCGAACUUAGGUGUCCGGUACCAACCAUCAAACCCUUUGUCACUUGCUCUAGAAACAGUCGGUAAAUUGGACCAAAAAAUUGACUAAUUUAUUUUGAUGAUAUACAUCUAUACAUCUAUACCUAUACCUAUAUCUAUACCUAUACCUACUUACCUACUUAUACAUUAUUUCUCAUGAAGUUUGUCAUGUGGCAAUUUCUCUUUCACUUCAUCCUUUUCACACCCUGAUGCUUCGCCUUCUCACCUCAUCUCUAUUCGAUAUUUCGUCUUUCUACUUGCCCACUUUCUAAUUAAUAUAUCCACAUGAUCCAUUUUUAUCUAAACAAAUCAUUUUUUUUAAAAAAUAAUAAAAUAAUAUUUCUUCAUACUCAUUUUUAUCACUUUUUUUUUCUUUUGUUUUCUCUUAGUGCACAAGAAAGGUUCAAUUUUUAUAUUUUUCUUAAUUUUUUUAUUUUUUAAAUUGUGUGCGAAUUGAAAUUAAGAUUCCGAGGAUUGUGGCAGCGCGGCGAGGUGAAGUGCGAUGGAUUUAGAGUCGAUGAGGGGGAAGAAGCGGCGGGUGUGAUGGAAUCCAUAUGGCAUUGACACGGCCGUGAUCAAGAAGAAGCUUUACGCCGACAAUGGUAGUGAAGGCGACGCGAAGAACAAGAAUCGCAUGUUUGAUCUUGACAGUAUAAUAAAGGUGUGUAUGGAGUAAUAACUCUAUUACUGCUUUUUUUACUGUUGUUAUAUAUAAUUUAUUUACUGUAAUAACUUUUGCUAUAUUGGUACAUAUCGGUUUUAUAUUUUUUAUUUGUAUCUAUUAAUGUCUCAUGACAAUGACAAGUCAAAAAAUUUUAAAAUUUUAAUUUUAUCAAACUUUUAUCUCCUAUAACAUAAGCCCGUCGUAAUGUACAGGUAACUUCACUAGUAUAUAGCAUAAUAACUUGUAAUUUGUAUGAUUAUUUUCAUAAUAUAGUGCUCAAUCCAACAAAUCAUUUAUUU